RNAcentral lists this long non-coding RNA (46038 nucleotides) under Malus domestica (apple). Its description in RNAcentral is "long non-coding RNA (MDOM_LNC001127)". The record is from RNAcentral. Lineage: Eukaryota; Viridiplantae; Streptophyta; Magnoliopsida; Rosales; Rosaceae.
UGAGACAAUGGGUAUUUGUGAUUUACUCGAACUCGCAAUACGCCUGAUGCAACAUUAGCAAAUACCUCUCCCGCAACCUCUAACAACUUGUCUCGAGCUGCAGUGUACUGGAACAGGGCCGGUCUGGUCAGGAAGAGUGAGUUUGCUGCAAGAGCUGAUAGUGGGACGGGAUCAAUUGCACCUGAUGCUUGUCCGAAACUCACCAUGUAUCCACGAGUCUUCAAGCAUGCCAAUGAUCCCUGUAAACAAUGCCCCAGUUAAGUACUAAUUCCAAAAUUCACCAUUAAGAAAUUAGACUAGCUAAUCUUCUGAACUGAAAAAAUCAAAGGAUAACAGUUUCAUAAAACUAGCUCGAACAGAACAGUAUAGAGAUUUGGUAUGCCUGGCCUGUCAUUGAGAAACUUCAACGCUAGAUUAGGUAAUAAGUCACGGAAAAGCAGAAGCAGUAACAGGCUGUGUUGAUACUCAAUGAAACCAAGAACAUCAAAGGAACGGUGCAGAAGGAGAACCUAGAAUCAUUUCUGUAACUUCUGUAUAAAAUUGAGGGAUGGUAAGAUUUACCUGAAAGGUAUCCUUCCCUACAGAAUCAUAGACAACAUCAACCCCAUUGUCAGAUGUUAUUUCUGUCACUCGAGCAACAAAAUCCUCUUUCGUGUAGACUAUGACAUGGUGACACCCAUCAUCCUUGGCCUGAGCUGUCUUCUCUUUAGUUGAUACAGUUCCAAUGACAGUUGCACCAAGCGCAUUAGCCCACUGGCAUAAAAGGGAUCCAACUCCACCAGCUGCUGCGUGAACAAGGACUGUGUGUCCUGGUUUGACCUGUAUAAUUAACAGCACAAAAUUCAGCUCGAACAUUAAAAGCAGCAGCAUUCAAAUUUAUAAACAAUUUCUAACAUUGAAUCAACCGUGUUUAGAUAAUGAAAUUACAAGUUCAGGAAGCAUUUGGUUACAACUUGACCACCAAUAUUUGUCAGUUGAUUGUAUUUUUUUGACACAUUAAUCACAUAGUUAACAAUACAUAAAAUUGUACAAUAAAACAACCUUGAAAGACUGACGUAGUAGAACCUGAGCUGUCAUACCCUUAAGCAAUACCGAUGCUGCAACAAUAGGAUCAAUUGAAGGGGGAACCGGCACCACUUUGUUUUCAGGAAGGAUCUGCUCUUCCGCAUAUGACCCCAUCGGAGUGCCAACAUAGGCCACCAGAUCUCCAACUCGCCUGUCUGUUACUCCAGGUCCUACGGCUGUCACAACUCCACAAGCUUCCAUACCUGAAAUGAAAAUUGAUUUGUAGUGACGUUGAGUUUCUCGACCAUUUCUCUUAAGGAUUAGUCAGUUCUAUUUCAAACAGCAGGAAUGGCUAAUCUGGUUUCAUGCCCGGCAUUCUUUUAGGUUUGCUAAAUCAUUCUUGAUCAUAUCUGAAAACUGUAAUCUCACGCGAAAUGUUUACUCAAGAAACUGUUAAGAAAAAACUAAACUUAGAAAUUAUGCCUUCAAAGAGUGGACAAGAUGUCAAUCCUUCCUACAUUUCGGAACUUGGAAAUGAAGCAAAACCUGGGGAGAAGGGCAUUGUAUCAGCCUUAUAAUAAAGUCCUUUGCGGAAGUAUACAUCGAUGAAAUUAACCCCUAUCGCCUUCUUCUUCACACGAACCUCCCCCUCCUUCGGCUCUCCUAUUUCCACUUCUUCCCAUUUCAAGACCUAGCAGCAUUACAUCACAAAAUUAAGUGAAAUGGGGAUAAAAGCAUUAGAAAUUUGGAUAAUGACAUGUAGCUGAACCAGAUAGCAGAUGAAAGAAAAAUUACGAGCAAAGGAAACUUCUUUCAAGGAAAACAAACUGAAGUAAAACUCCAAAACAAACGGGUUUUGAAUAAUAUGUUUCAAAGGUUGUGUAUGAACACACUUGAUGUUGUGCUAGGAUAGCACCAAACCUUUUAGAACCAACUCAAGCUAACCAACAGGAAAUUUAUCAAAUAAAAAUGCAAGAACAAAAUAUUAAAGACACCAAGAUUUUAACGAGGUUCCUCAACAGUCAGUGUAACUGGAGUACGUCCUCGGAGCAGUAGGAGCUCACCCAAUAAUCCACUAUCAACCAAAUGGGAGUUUACAAAGUGUUGGCAAUCUCACAACCCAAAUAACCCAAUACACUCAAUAACUCUCACACACCACAGAAACAAAUAGAGAAAGAAAUAUAAUGAAUAAUUUCUUCUCUAUACAUGUAGCUCAAAGCUAUUACAACAAUAACUAUGAUGAAUGAUUGCUAACAAAAAAGAAGAGCACAUUCUUCUUCUUUUCAACAAAGGGUUGCUGCACCCUUUCUAUUUUCUGAUGCUCUGCAGCUUGCACUCCUUUUCUCUGCAGCUCUCUUCUCUCUUCUCUCUUAUGCUCUAAUCUGAAAAUUGAGCUCUCAUUUUCUUCUCUUCUACCGAAACAAAACAAUGAAUUAUUAUUCAAAACAAGCCAUCACUUUCGGCUAAUAAAAAACCACAAAAGAAGAAAAACAUCAUCAUGAUGCCUCCUCAUCAUGAUGUCUUUAUAAUUUUAUAACCAAAAGUUUUUUUCUUUUCCUUUUUUUAAUAGCCGAAAGUUGUUUGUUUGGCCAUAAUUCAACAAUCUCCACCUUGGCCAAAUUCCGAAAACACCAUGAUAAGCCAACCAACACAAUCAACACAAAAAUCACUCCCAAACACUAGCAAAAGAACAACUCAUGCCGAGCCAAAUGCUCCAAAAACUCCUACUGCUCAACGCCUUCUUUAUAUAGGCAUAAUGUGAGCCAAGUUCAAACAGUGAACAAACUUGGCUACACCAACAACCUUAGUCAACAUAUCAGCGGGGUUAUCUUUAGUUGGAAUCUUCUGGAGAAUGAUUUCCCCUUCACCAACAAUUUCACGAACAAAGUGAUAACGCACAUCUAUAUGCUUGGUCCUCGCAUGAUGAACCUGAUACUUAGCCAAAUAAAUGGCACUCUGACUAUCACAAUGUACCUCCACCUGCUUCUGAUCAACCCCCAAAUCCCUAAUCAGCCCAUGUAUCCAAAUGACCUCCUUUAUAGCUUCAGCAACUGCCAUAUAUUCAGCCUCUGUAGUAGACAAGGCAACAGACGACUGCAAAAUGGACCUCCAACAAACUGGUCCUUUAGCCAUAGUAAACACAUAGCCUGUAGUAGACUUCCUUCCAUCCAGAUCACCUGCAUAAUCUGAAUCAACAUAACCAACUGCAAAAUGACCAAUACCAGAGUCAUCUCUCUCAAAGCAUAAACCAACAUCUCGAGUACCAUGGAGAUACCUCAAUAUCCACUUAGCUGCUUGCCAAUGCUCUUUACCUGGAUUAUGCAUAUAUCGACUCACCAUGCCAACUGCAUGAGCAAUAUCCGGUCUAGAGCAUACCAUUGCAUACAUCAAACUACCAACCAAAUUUGCAUAUGGUAUAUUUUUCAUUUUCAGCUUCUCUUUAUCAUUUUUAGGACACUGUAGAGAACUCAAUUUAAAAUGAGGAGCCAAAGGGGUACUAACCGGUUUGGUUGAAUCAUGAACUCCAAACUUCCGAAUCAACUUCUCAAGGUAUUGUCUUUGAUUCAAACUGACGAAACCCUUUGCUCUAUCUCUAGUGAUCUCCAUGCCAAUGAUCUUUUUUGCUUCACCAAGAUCCUUCAUCUCAAACUCAUUCUUCAUUUGUUUCUUCAAUUUCUCAAUCUCUUCAACAUUCUUUGAGGCAAUCAACAUAUCAUCAACAUAUAUCAACAAAUAAAUGAAAGACCCAUCUUGCAACUUCUUGAAGUACACACAAUGAUCAUAUUGACUUCUAGAAUAAUUUUGGCCUCUCAUAAAUUUAUCAAACCUCAAAUAUCAUUGCCUUGGAGAUUGCUUCAAGCCAUAAAGUGAUUUCUUCAAUUUGCAAAACAAAUUUUCCUUCCCUUUCACUAUAUACCCAUCCGGUUGACACAUAUAAAUCUCUUCAUUCAAAUCACCAUGUAGGAAAGCCGUCUUCACAUCAAGUUGCACAAGCUCAAGAUCAUAUUGUGCAACAAGAGCUAACAUAAUACGAAUUGAGGAGUGCUUCACAACUGGAGAAAAUAUUUCAUUGUAGUCAAUGCCCUCCUUCUGUGCAUACCCUUUAGCAACUAAUCUUGCUUUAAAUCUCACAUUGCUUUUCUCAUCAGCAUCUUCCUUCUUGGCAUACACCCAUUUGCAACCGAUAGCUUUCUUGCCCUUAGGCAAUUUAGCUAACUCCCAAGUCUUGUUCUUCAAGAGAGAAUUCAUCUCAUCACCCAUGGCAUUGCACCACCUCUCAUUUUCUUCACUCUCAAUAGCUUCCUCAAAAUUGGAUGGAAUCUCAUCAGUGAUAAUAGGAAAAGCAAAAGAAACAUAGUCACUAUACCGAGCUGGCUUGGUAAUUUGUCUCUUUCCUCUGUUCUUGGCAAUAGACUCUUGAGGUGAAACUUCCUCUUCAACUUGAAUAGAAUCUUCAAGUUCAACUUCUUCAACAUCCUCAUGGUCUCCAACUUCUUCACUUGUAGUGGCUUCGACAUCAGCGGAAAUAGGAUUUGAAGUAUUAGAGGCAACUUUCUCAAGCUCCACUUGUUGGACAUCUUUCACAUUCUUCUCAGAGUCUUUAAACAUACUUUCUUCAUCAAAUGUCACAUCUCUGCUGAUUACAAGUUUUUUCAUCUCCGGGCACCACAACCUGUAACCUUUGACACCACUACUAAAACCAAGAAAGAUAGCAUUUUUGGCUCUAGGAUCAAGUUUAUUUUCAGUCACAUGAAAAUAAGCAGGUGAACCAAAAAUACGGAUAUAGUCAUAAUCAGAAGAAGAUUUUCCAGUCCAUACCUCCAUUGGUGUCUUACCCUGAAUAGCAGCUGAGGGUAACCGGUUGAUGAUGUGACAUGCAUAAGUAACUGCCUCUGCCCAAAACGACUUGCUUAAACCCGACUGAGACAACAUACAUCUAACCUUCUCAAGCAAGGUUCGAUUCAAUCUUUCUGCAACUCCAUUUUGUUGUGGAGUUCCCCGAACACUGAAAUGUCUCACAAUUCCUUCCUCUUUGCAAACUUUAAAGAAAGGAUCGGAUGUGUAUUCACCACCAUUAUCCGAUCUCAAAAUCUUAAUCUUUCUUCCAGUUUGGUUCUCAACCAUUUUCUUCCAACCCAAGAAAAUGUUUAACACCUCACUCUUGUGCUUCAUAGUGUAGACCCAAGACCUUCUUGAAUAAUCAUCAACAAAGGUCACGAACCAAUGUCUACCACUCAAAGAGGGAGUCUUUGUAGGACCCCAAACAUCCGAAUGCACAUAAUCAAGAAUGCCCUUCGUCUGAUGUACAGCAGUACCAAACUUCACUCUAGUUUGCUUCCCCAAGACACAAUGCUCGCAGAAAUCAAGCUUACAAGUCGUGGCACCUUUUAGAAGACCUUGUUUCACAAGCCCUUGUAGAGCUCUCUCACCAGCAUGGCCUAAUCUCAUAUGCCACAGUCUAGUAGUAUCUGAAUCAGAUGUGCCCAUAUUUUCAGAAACUACAGAUGCUUCAUCUGUCACAGUGCUUCCCUGCAAUAAAUACAAAUGGCCACAUCGAGGAGCUUUCAUCACAACAAGUGCACCAUAAGUAACUUUCAAUGUCUGUCCAUCUGAAUGAAACCUGAAGCCCUUGGAUUCCAAAGUACCCAAAGAAAUAAGAUUUUUCUUCAAAUUCGGUACAUACCGAACACCUGUCAACUCUUUAACCAUGCCAUCAUGCAACUUCAAACGAACUGUACCAAUCCCUUUUGUUGUGCAAGGAUUGUCAUCUCCCAUGAACACAACACCACCAUCAAACUCUUUCAAGCUUGAAAACCAAUCCUUGUGAGGAGUCAUAUGAUGAGUACAACCCGUAUCCAACACCCACUUAGUAGCACAAUCAAAUGAUGAGGAAGUGGUUAAAGCAAAAUCAGAAAAAUCUGUUCAACCUCAGCAACAUUAGCUUCAGAACUUUCUUUGCCUUUGGUCUUCAAUUUAGGACAAACUUUCUUCCAAUGGCCCUUAUUAUGACAAAAGGCACAUUCAUCCUUUUCCAAAGGUUUUCUACCUUUAGAGUUUCCUCUAGGUCGAGACUGUGAUUUUUUCCUGCUAGAAGAUGAUCUCCUCUCCGAUGAUCUACCUCUAACAAAUAAAGCUUCAGAGGUACUAUCAUGAUUUUUAUCUCUAUGCCUCAUUUCAUAAUUCAUCAAGGCAUUUGACACAUCUUCAAAUUUUACAGUUUCUUUACCAUGCAUAAUAGUGGUAACAAAAUGCUCAUAAGAGUCCGGCAAGGAAUUCAACAAUAUUAAGGCCUUAUCUUCAUCCUUAAUAUCCUCAUCUAAAUUUAACAAGUCGGCAAUCAACUUAUUAAAAGCAUCAAGGUGUCUAAUCAUUUUUGAACCUUCUUUGUAUUGGAAGCGGUAGAGCUUUUUCUUCAAGUGUAGCCGGUUCUCUGCACUCUUCGUCAUAUACUUGUCUUCCAAUUUUUGCCACAACACACUUGCUACCGUCUCCCGCAUCACAAAAUACUUCUGAGUUUUUGCAAGGCACAACCGAAUUGAAGAGCAAGCCCACAAAUUUAAUUUCUCCCAUUCCGACUUCGAAAUAGCUUCCGGUUUUUCUCCCAAAGCGGCAAGUAGAUCUUGUUGAGCCAACACAUCUUUAACCUCACAUUGCCACAUCCCGAAGUUGUUUGUGCCAUCAAACUUUUCCACUUCGAACUUUGCAUUUUGCACCGUAGUUCUUAUAGAGAAAGAAAUAUAAUGAAUAAUUUAUUCUCUAUACAUUUAACUCAAAGCUAUUAUAACAAUAACUAUGAUGGAUGAUUGCUAACAAAAAAGAAGAGCACAUUCUUCUUCUUUUCAACAAAGGGUUGCUGCACCCUUUCUAUUUUCUGAUGCUCUGCAGCUUGCACUCCUUUUCUCUGCAGCUCUCUUCUCUCUUAUGCUCUAAUCUGAAAAUUGAGCUCUCCUUUUCUUCUCUUCUACCGAAACAAAACAAUGAAUUAUUAUUCAAAACAAGCCAUCACUCUCGGCUAAUAAAAAACCACAAAAGAAGAAAAACAUCAUCAUGAUGCCUCCUCAUCAUGAUGUCUUUAUAAUUUUAUAACCAAAAGUUUUUUUCUUUUCCUUUUUUUAAUAGCCGAAAGUUGUUUGUUUGGCCAUAAUUCAACACUUGAUAUGGCUUGAGAUAAACUAUAAACACAAUAUAAACUUUAGUUUACAAACUCAAAUACUUCAAGGCCUCGCUCGAUGUCUAUGAUUGAAUUGGACUGAAAAAUCGCUAGAUUCAAUGUAUGUCAAAGAAAGAAAUUUGGAAAGCAGAAGAAGGAUUGAUCAUGAAGAACAUUCCAAUCACCAACGAAAUGGUAGGAUUGGAGGGAUAAGCUUACUUCAUGACUACUCCUCUUUUUACUUUCAACUUAUGACUCGUCUGGAAGUGCUUUUAGAAUGACUGAAAACGUUUUUGGUGAAAUUGAUUUUGGAUUCCAAAAGCACUUGGAAGAAGCAUCAAAUAUGUGCUUGUAGGAAGCACUUCAAGUGCUUUUUUAAGAUUCAAUUAGAUUUUUACUAAAAAUUGAUUUCAAAAAUAUUUUCACAAAAAAUACUUUCUGUUACUUUAAAAGUACUUCCAAACGACCCUUUGACUUCCAUUUUUUCCUUCGACAUUGAAUCAUAGUGAGUUAUCGAAUCCAGUCAAAUCCUUGACACCAAACAAGAACUAACCUUGUCCGGAUUAGUCCGAUGAAUACAAUGGCAUAAGAAAUCAUGUACUCUUGGCUAAAAGCAGAAAGGCUAUCACUUUCAGCCUGUUACCAGAUUUCCCAUCAAACAACUUGGAUUUAUUGUAAACAGAAAUAGUUUACAAAUGAAAUCAGGCACUUAAUAUUGCAACCGACAAACAAGUCUUGAUUUUGUGAUCACAAAUUCAAACAUUCAAGUUACCCAAAAAAACACAGGAGAGAGAGAGAGAGACCUGAGGACCACCAAGUUCAUGAACUCUAAUGGCUUUCACCAUCUUUGUUGGCGAUACUGCUUGAUUUCUGGGUACGGACUAUUUUCCGGUCAAAAGUGUGAUUUCUUGGUAAUUAUCCCUUAAUAAUUAGCCUAACUCGUGUUAAUAUUAUAAUGUUGGACCUACAUCUUUUUUUAGUCCAUGUCUCGUACACGCACCAAAAAUCAUAAAGAGUUGUGAUAUUUCCACUCCGAUGUCUUAUUUUCUUAUCCACCAUUUAAUGAAAAUGUUAAUAACAUAUUUAUCCUUUUAAAAGAAGAUUCUUAAACCCUUGAAAAAGCAAAAAAUAAUUUUAAAUAAUAAAUAAAUAAUGGUGGGUGGGAUGUGAUAUCUUUGGUGGAAAGAGGUUGGGAAAGAUUUGGGUUAGAAUCGACGGAAAAGUUGGAGGAAUGAAUGAGCAUGUGCUAGACGAAGGCGAGAAACUUCAAUGGAGAAAAAAGAGAAUUUGGUGUGAGAUCUGCAGUUUUGACAAAAAAGGAGGAAGAAAAGUGGUUUGGGGGUCCGGGAUCUCUGCAGGACGACGAUUGGUGAGAAGUAGAUGAUGAAUGUCUAGGUCUUGCAUUUUCUAUGGUGGUCCCUUAGAGUUUAUGUUUAUUGUGCAAAGCACAGAAGACCCUGCUUAUCGAGUUGUAUCUAUGCUACCAUCAAAGCUUAAGGUAUACGCAACAAUAAUCAUGGUUUCUUUAAUAUAAGAAGAACAUCCAGGACAAGUCAUAUAUAAUAUAUGCUUGGAAGCACAAGUUUAAUGCAUAACAUUUUUUAGGUUACAUGUGUUCCGAGAAUGAUAUGUUUUACGUUUAACUUCAUUUCCUUGCAGGACGAGGUUCAUGCUAAGAUUAUUGUGGCUGGUAUUUCAACAACCUGUAGUCAGAAAAUUCACAACCAAUUGGUAUGUACCUGAUUAAAAUAAUUUACGCUUUGCUACCAUGCUGGUGCAAUAGCAAGGUCUUGCACAGUUUAAGUGUUAUCUUAUCAAAUCAUUAUGUACCUAUAAUUGUUCUAUAUGACGAGUUUCUUUUCUUUAUGGAAUAGAGAAAUAUAAAUUUAUUACCAAGUCUUAAUGGUGUAGGGUAUAUGUAAAUGAAUUCAAUUAGAACUCACAUUUUUGUUUUCUGUUUUGUAGCUGCCUUGAUCAUUAGUUGGUGAUAUUUGGGAGAUUGGGUCAUCUGGUUGUUUGGAUUUAAGUGGGAUUGAAGUUAUUUUUGCCGCUUUUUGUGAUUUGGGUCUGGGUUAUGGUCAAGUUAUUGCUAUUUAUUCUGGGUAUUUGCUGAAAUUUGUGUUCAAUUAGUGUGAGUUCUGUAAUUGGUUUGUGUUCGUUCAUAUAACCUUAUGUUCUUGGAAUGUGAUUUAGCUGUGGCUCUUUCAUUUGAUUCUUAAUUCUUUAUGAUUCAGCACUAUGUUGAUAUUGAUGAUGAAUUUUUCCUCGCGAUUAAUGCUUUCAUGUUUAAAUCUUAAUAACUAUACUUGCUUCUCUUGGGUGUAUGUUUUGCCGGUCAUGAAAAACUGUCGGCCAAUCUUUUUGCACCACUCUUUCGCACUCUUUUCCGUGGCUAUCAUGUUUCUCUCUGACCUUAUAAAUUUUGCCUUCAUUCACAACAAAAAACCUUGCGACGAGCAAACAGGCACAACCAAUUCUGCCAGAAUUGCUGGAGAAUUCCACAACCAAGGUCAUCGAGUACGGCCGAAAGCAUGUUGAGGGUCGAGACGGCGAUAGCACCGAUGUUGGCAAGAGCGGCGACCCCUUUUCAAGGUACGGUCUUCACUGAUUUGAAGUUUUAGUUUGUUUGUGAUUUUUUUUCUUUGGAUAUGUAAUUUAUCCUUUUGUACUUGACAAUUUGUGAUCCAAAAUUUUUUUCUCGUGUUUUGAUUUUCCUGUGAAUUUAUAUGAGUUUAGAUUUUUAUUGUUAAUUUACUGAUGUUGGGGGAUCAUUUUGGCUUCUAGAUUGGUUUGAACUUUUUUCUGUCUUUGUUUUUUCCUUUGUGUAAUUUUAGUCAGAUUGAAGUGUUCUUUUCAAUUUGAGAUUUAAUUGAAGUGUUUAGGAUUAUCUACAUAUAUAUAAUCAAUGUUGAAAUUUUAAACUAAAUCACUAUGCUGCAAUCAAACCCACAGAUUGUUGGGUCCAAAAGAAGAAGAAGAAGAAGGAGUGAACAACAUGAAAUUGGCUUUGGGUAAGCUUCCACUCUCUUCUGUGUAUGAUCUCUUUGAGAAGUGAUUUUGGUUUGUGCUUUCAAAAAUGAUGAUGGCAAUUUCAUAUUUGGACAGAGAAAACAAUAGGCAUGUAUGAUGAAGUGGAAUUUUUCGUGGUAUUAUCAACAUGCUUGUUAUAAAGAAUUCUUCAUUUAGUUUUUUGGGUUGUGUGUUUUGUGCUGUUUCAUUCGUGACUUGUGUGUUUUGUUGUAUCUGAUUCAAGAAUACGUCAUUGAAGAAUGUUAAUGAAUCCAAACAUGGGUUUUGGGGUGUUCUUGCUAGAAAAGCCAAAGACAUUCUCGACGAUGAUGAUAAUGGAGUUCAGGAUUAUGAUUCACCCCGAACAACAAGGACGAAUAUGCUGUCUUUGCCAACAAGGGGAUAAGGUGAGAUAUAGUUUUCGUCAUGUCUUUAUAGUAGCUGGGCAUUUUCCAAGGACUUUUAAUUGCUGCUGCAUUGUUGAAUACAUUAAGAAUGAUCCGGUAAACCAGAGAGGGAGUCAUCAGCUUAUGGAUUUGUUAACACAUCCAAUGUGUUGUAAUCUUUUCAUUACUUAAACAUGUUAAGACAUCAAUUCUAAAAAAAACUUGGUCUGCUACUUUACUUAUGGUGCUGUUGGUUUACUCCAACGAUAAUACCUAGCUAGGAUAGCCUUUUCUUUAUGUCUUAAUUAUUGAUAGUGCUAUCAUCAUGGCAGGCUAUGUUGGGGCAAGAACUGUGCAGGCAAAGACAUAAGAGUGAUGGAUUUUGGAACGAAAUGCAGAGGAUAUCAUUUUGUGCUGCUUAAGUAAAAGUUUCCUCUUCUGUUAUAUUUGUGUGUUGGAUAUUGUAAAAAAUUAAUAUAAGUUGUAUAUUCAUGAUAACUGACUGAUUAAGAUUACUUACAAGGGGUAUAUAUGCACAGGAGAGCUCAGCAUGAGGGUGCUGUUGGUUUACCUUGCCUGGAUGUGUAGCAGUGUGGGGUUGUUCAAGAAAAAAGGUUUUAAAGGAUCCUUUGCAGAUGCAGGAUCUUCUGCUAAAUGAUAACAUUGCAAUCCGAGUGUAAUUAGUUUAGUUUUUUCUAGUUUUUUUUUUUUUUUUGUGAAAUGUUAUUUACAAUGUCAGAAUGUUUCUUGGAAUUCAGUUGUCAAGGUUUCUUUUUAUAUUUUCCCUUUUUUAGACAUUUGCAGUUUUGUCCGGAGUGUGUGAGCUGUUGCUUCAGCCAAAACAGGUGCUCUCUCCAUUUUUCAUUUCUUCCAUACUCAAACCCUAGCCGCUCCACCUGUCUCUCCCACACAUAAGCAAACUCCAUCUGAAAGCCGAAGAAUCCAAAGGUAAAUCCCUUCGAACUCUUUGAUUAUCAACCAGAUUUCAGAAUGUUUUUGGGAUAUACACUGCUAUUUCAUAUAGUGUUAGUUCAAUAGUUUAGUCCUAAGACCUAGCUCAUGAGACAUCAGAAUUUCGAUUGAUUUAGCUUUUGUCCUAUGCCUUUUUUGUAGGCACAACAAGGAUUGUAGACUACACAAACUUAGAAGAUAUGAAGUGUGCGGUAAGUCCUUUUACUUUCUCACUCCAGAGUCCAUACAUUCAUAUUUUCUGUAACCUUCUAUGGAGCAUGGGUACUAGGUUGUUGAAUAUUGCUUCUUCAAUAUGUCGAUGUGUCUGAAGCAUCUAUAAGAAUCUCAAACUUCAUAAAUAAUUUCCAUGCAGAUCAAAAAGCUUGAUGGCUCUGAGUUCCGAAAUGCUUUUGACCGCCAAUCUGUUUGCGUAUGAAUCUUACAAGUUGAAAAUUUAUUUUCUCUCCUCCUGUAUUUUUGUUUAUCUUUUGCUCUGUUGGGUUUUUUUUUUUCCAACAACUCAAAGGGCCGAAAGGUAUUCUCUUUUCAUAUUCUUCUCUCCCAAUUUCUUUAGGGUUAAUUUCAAUUUUCUUAUGCUAUUUGCAUUGGUGCUUUUUAGGGUUUAACUAUUUGAUUUCACAGAUUCAUUUCAGACACAGUAAAUAGUUACAUUUUAAAUUCGUAUUUCAUAACUUGGUUGCUUGAUUCUAAUGUCGAUUCGUUACAACAGAAGUGAACUUUUUCUUUCAAUAAUUUAAUCUGAUGUAACUCUGUUUUUGUUCUCUCAUGUCUAGGUUGGUCAAGGACAUGGGGAGAAGAGCACUUUGGAAAUGGGUACGAAAGGAAAUAAACUUGCUGAACUGCAUUGGCAUCUAUUGUUUUGGUUUUUCUUUGACAAGUUAACUUGCUCUCUCUUUGCAGUAAGGUGCACAAAUAUGGAAAAAGCACGACAGGGGAAAGCUGGGAUAUUGUUGUGGAUGAGGAGACCUAUUACGAGUGAGUCUGGACUUGGUUCUGGUUCUGUCUACAUAUAGUAUGUUGAAGCAGUCAAAAGGAUUUCAGGGGCUAUAAGGGAUGGCUGUAGAGGCCACCCGCUCGAUAUUGCCUUGUUCGGUUGUUCAUCCAGAUACAAAUUCUUGUUUAGCUCAGAAUGCACGGGCUACAUCAGCUACAUUUAGGAAAACAUUUCCGCUUUACUUUUCUUUGAUGUUUGUACCAUUCAUUGUUUUCAGCCUACAGAAGGUAAAUUCUUCAAACUCAGCCUUUUCUUCUCAUUAUUUACCAGGAUAAUGCUUCUUUAACAAUUAUUUUCUGAAAUGGUGCGUUUACCUAUUAGUUCUGCCGACCACGAUAUUGGAUUUAUUGCCAUGAAAUGGUAUGGAAUUUGUUUAUGAUUUUGCCAAUUACACAAACUGAGUCGUUUUUGCUGUUAUCUGUUGGAGUUUUAUGAGUUGUGUCUGGUGUGCCUUGCCAUGAAUAGUGAAGGAUCAUUGACUCUCCUUCUUGGCAGUAGCUGGAUAGUCUUUCAUAUACAAUUGGAUCAUGGUAAUGUUUUGAGGCAUUUCAAAUUAUUCCACAUGUAAAUAGUUUUGAAUUCAGAGUUUGGUCUUUCAAUUUCAAGCUGGCAUAUGAUCUUUGAAUAGUUCAAGCAUUUUUGUUAUCAUUCUAAUUCUCUGAAGGUAAAUAGAAAAAUUGCAUGUAAAUCGAACAAUGUUUCAUAACCUUUUGUGUGUUGGUACUAUUGUUGAUCCAAAGCCACAAGAACUUUGUUGGUGUAAUCUUUUUUGCAUGUAAAUAGAAGUCUGAUCUUUUGUGUGUAUACAAGCAACAGUAUCAUUUAAACGCUUUUAAAAUCCACAGCAUCGUUUGGGCAAUUUUUGCUUAUAACCAAAUGUAUGAAAUUGAAAUGUUAUAGAAAUGUUGUACGAGGUUACAAUUGGAGAGAAUUUUUCAGUGUGAUUGGAACACGGGAUGGUACACCACGUGUCACUAUAUAAAUGGUAGAAUGUGUGUUAAAAAAUUAAUAAUUUAAAAAAUAAAUUUUUCACCACUUAUAUAAAAACACGUGGUGUACCACUCGUGUUUCGAUCAUAAUGAAAAAUUUCUCGUUACAAUUGUACCGAAAUGUAAAGAAGUAAAUUGUAAUUUACCCUAUUUACUUUCACUUGCACAUUUACCUGUUUGACGCCCAGCUUAGGUGGGCAUAUUAUAUCCCAGUAAAAAUAUCACAUCCAUAAAAAAAAUUAAUUUUUCAUCUAUAUUAAUACAAUGUAUUUGAAGGACCGACGAUUCCCAAUUCCAAGUGGGGUCUUAAAUUAACUUGUGUCUCUAUAGAUGCGGACUAGCUAGUCCUAAAUAGCCGCUUAGUUUAUUCCAUCUUAUCAUCUAUCAAACUUUUGUCCAAGAUUCCAAGAGUCCGUCCGACGACUGUUACUCUCAUUGAUGUGCACCGAUUUUGAAAAUGCGGUCUCAUGCCGUAGAGGAUGGUUUAGAAAAGGUGAGGCUCCCUAGUAUAUAUAGGUAGCUCUACUCUGGAUUGUUCAUUGCUCAUACACAUCACCUGCUUCAUACACUUGAACUUUAUGGCCAUUGCAACCAUUACUUUCAGUAUUGGUUUAUCCAAUGGAAAUCCAGCUUGGCCUCCACUUUGCAAAGAAAGCGAAAGACGAGCACUUCUGAUGUUCAAGCAAGAUCUCAACGAUCCUGCCAAUCGCCUUUCAUCGUGGGUUGCAGAAGAAGAUUCAGAUUGUUGCAGUUGGACAGGAGUUGUCUGUGAUCACAUGACCGGCCACAUCCACGAGCUGCACCUUAAUAAUCCCGACACUUAUUUUGAUUUCCAAUCUUCCUUCGGUGGUAAGAUAAAUCCUUCUUUGCUCAGUUUAAAGCAUCUCAACUUCUUGGACUUGAGUUACAAUAAUUUCAAUGGAACACAAAUUCCUAGUUUCUUUGGUUCUAUGACAAGUUUAACACACCUUAAUCUUGCAUACUCAUUGUUUGAUGGAGUAAUUCCUCAUACACUAGGAAAUCUCUCCAGUCUACGCUAUCUCAAUCUCCAUAGUUAUGGUCUCUAUGGUUCCAAUCUGAAGGUAGAGAACCUUCAGUGGAUUUCUGGUCUUUCUCUGCUGAAACACUUGCACUUGAGUUAUGUAAAUCUUAGCAAAGCAUCUGACUGGUUGCAAGUUACAAACAUGCUCCCUUCUUUGGUAGAGUUACAUAUGUCCUUUUGUCAUCUUCAUCAAAUCCCCCCUCUACCCACCCCAAAUUUUACUUCCCUGGUCGUCCUUGAUCUUUCUGGAAACAGUUUUAAUUCUUUGAUGUUGAGGUGGGUUUUCAGUCUUAAAAAUCUAGUUUCUAUUCUUCUCGGUGAUUGUGGUUUCCAAGGUCCAAUUCCUAGCAUUUCACAGAAUAUCACAUCUUUGAAGGUAAUUGAUUUGGCAUUCAAUUCUAUUAGUCUUGAUCCGAUUCCCAAAUGGCUGUUUAACCAAAAAGAUCUGGCUUUGGAUCUAGAAGGUAAUGACCUUACAGGACUUCCAAGCAGUAUUCAGAAUAUGACUGGUCUUAUAGCUCUUUAUCUUGGGUCGAACGAAUUCAAUUCUACCAUACUUGAAUGGUUGUAUAGCCUGAACAAUCUUGAGUCCUUAGAUCUUUCUCACAAUGCCUUACGUGGUGAAAUUUCGAGUUCCAUUGGAAAUCUUAAAAGUUUAAGGCACUUUGAUCUUUCAAGUAAUUCAAUAUCAGGUCGCAUUCCAAUGUCACUAGGAAAUAUAUCAAGCUUAGAACAAUUGGACAUAUCUGUAAAUCAAUUUAAUGGAACUUUCACAGAAGUUAUUGGUCAGCUCAAAAUGCUAACGGAUUUGGAUAUAUCUUAUAAUUCGUUAGAAGGUGUGGUGUCGGAAAUUUCUUUUAGCAACCUUAUAAAGUUGAAGAAUUUUGUUGCAAGAGGAAACUCAUUUACUUUGAAAACUAGUCGAGAUUGGGUUCCUCCUUUUCAACUUGAAAUUUUGCAGCUGGAUUCCUGGCAUUUGGGGCCUGAAUGGCCAAUGUGGUUGCGGACACAAACUCAAUUAAAGGAACUAAGCUUGUCUGGUACAGGAAUUUCAAGUACUAUUCCAACUUGGUUUUGGAACUUAACUUCCCAAGUAGACUAUCUGAAUCUCUCUCACAAUCAAUUGUAUGGGCAGAUUCAAAAUAUAUUUGUUGGUGCUUUUCCUUCAGUAGUUGAUCUUGGUUCUAACCAAUUCACUGGUGCAUUGCCCAUUGUUGCCACCUCAUUGUUCUGGCUAGAUCUUUCCAAUUCAUCAUUUUCUGGAUCUGUUUUCCACUUCUUCUGUGAUAGGCCGGAUGAACCAAAGCAACUUGAAAUUCUUCAUCUCGGGAACAAUUUUCUCACUGGAAAAGUACCCGAUUGUUGGAUGAGUUGGCAAUACUUGGGCUUCCUAAAUUUAGAAAACAACAACCUAACUGGGAAUGUCCCAAUGUCCAUGGGAUACUUGCAAGAUCUGGAAUCACUGCACUUGCGCAAUAAUCACCUGUACGGAGAAUUGCCACAUUCCCUGCAGAACUGUACCUCGUUGUCAGUUGUUGACCUUAGUGAAAAUGGGUUUUCCGGAAGCAUACCAAUAUGGAUAGGGAAAAGCCUUUCAGGGUUGCAUGUUCUUAUCCUUCGUUCAAAUAAGUUUGAAGGAGAUAUUCCUAAUGAAGUUUGUUAUUUGAAAAGUCUCCAGAUAUUGGACCUUGCACAUAACAAACUCUCAGGAAUGAUACCGAGAUGCUUCCACAAUUUGAGCGCCUUGGCUAAUUUUUCAGAAUCAUUUUCUCCAAGGAUUUUUGGGAGUGUGAAUGGAGAAGUUUGGGAGAAUGCAAUCUUGGUAACGAAAGGGACAGAAAUGGAAUAUAGCAAGAUUCUGGGAUUCGCAAAGGGCAUGGAUCUUUCAUGCAACUUCAUGUAUGGAGAGAUCCCUAAAGAACUUACCGGCCUCCUCGCAUUACAGUCACUCAAUUUAUCGAAUAAUCGCUUCACUGGAAGAAUUCCUUCAAAGAUUGGUGAUAUGGCAAAGUUAGAAUCUGUUGAUUUUUCCAUGAACCAACUUGAUGGUGAAAUUCCUCCAAGCAUGACGAAUUUGACAUUUCUGAGUCACUUAAACUUGUCCUACAACAAUUUGACAGGACGAAUUCCGAAAAGCACUCAACUGCAAAGCUGCAGAGCCUUGAUCAGUAUGCGGAGCUCCACUCAACAAGAAUUGCAGCGAGAAUGGGGUGAUACCGCCACCAACAGUUGAGCACGACGGAGGAGGAGGAUACAGUUUACUCGAAGAUGAGUGGUUCUACGUGAGCUUGGGAGUUGGAUUCUUCACGGGGUUUUGGAUUGUGCUUGGUUCUUUGCUGGUAAACAUGCCAUGGAGCAUUCUUCUUUCACAGUUGUUGAAUAGGAUAGUGUUUAAAAUGUAUCAUGUAAUUGUUGAAUAUGUUUAGAUUUGUUUUGUACUUUGAGUAAGUUCGUUGGCAUUUUCCUUGCUGUGACGAAUAUGCCAGUAUGGUUGUGUUGUAUGAUUUUGUCAAAUUUAGUCCUCUUGUUUCAUUGUGUUUUUCUUUCAGGUUUGGUUUUAGAGGGGUUAGGUUUCAUGUCCCCCCAUCCCUUGUAUCAUUUUUGUUUUCGUUUCUAGAGGGGUAAGGUUUAUGUCUCUCAUUCUUACUCAAUGUUGUUUUUCUCCUUUUCUUGGCAUUAUGAGGGGUAAGGUUUAUGUUCUCCCCUGACUAGGUGUAACUUAUUUUUUUCGUUAUCAAUAAAAUAUUCCUCGUACCAUCAAGGUUUUCGUAAAAAAUAAAAAAUAGAAAAAAAUAUCCCAUAUAAAAUUAAAAGACUUGUUUUUUGAACAAGUAGCUCUUAAUUCAGCAGAAGUAAAUUGAAUGACAAGAGAAAUGUGUGAAAAUGGUUUAGGGAUUAGUUACCUAUUAAUUAAUUAUCAGCAAACUCAUAUUAUUCACAUUAUUUCGUGGUUGUAUUUUUAAUUAUUUUUCAUUUACAAUUUUACCCUUGGAACUUUCUAAGAAAACUAAAACAACGCUUCUCUCGAGUUCGAAUCCCAAAACCAAAAUUCAUCCGGUAUAUAUAUCCCAAGAUGCAAAAGGACCAAUUGGGAAUUAAAUAAAAUACUUUCGAAUAAGAUGACAGAAUAAAUGAACGAAUUUUCAGUGUGAUCGUCACAUAGAGUGAUACAUCACGUGUCGUUAUAUAAAUGGUGGGAUAUGUGUGUUAAAAAGUUAAUAACUUAAAAAAUAAAAAAUUUCACCACUUACAUAAAAACACAUGGUCUACAAUCUGUGUUCCCGUCACAACUAAAAAUUUCUUCAUGAACUCAACCACCUGCACAACCCCGGCCAGUCCACCAAUGACUCUAAUUUACUCAGAAUUUUAAUUUGGUAACGACAAUUUUCACCACUUACAUAAAAACACAUGGUCUACAAUCUGUGUUCCCGUCACAACUAAAAAUUUCUUCAUGAACUCAACCACCUGCACAACCCCGGCCAGUCCACCAAUGACUCUAAUUUACUCAGAAUUUUAAUUUGGUAACGACUUAAUUAUUUAUUUAUGAAAGGGUAAUUAAAGAAAAUCAAGUUGUGAAGUCCUUGUAGUUUGUAUUGACCAGUACUGACGGAUAAGAAGGGUAGUAUGGUCAAAAAGGUGGUGCUGAAGUAAGGCAGUUAGUAUAUUUGGAAGUUAGUUAGAAUUGGCGGUAAAAUUAGUUAGAGCUGUUAGUACCAUUGAGCUAUAUAAGUGCGUAAGAAUCUUGUAGUAAUUAUUCGAAGAAAUAUACAGAAGCUCAUAGCCUCUGCUCUCUCUGCAAUUCUGUUUCUUUCUCUCUAAGUUUUCUGCUUUUCUUCAAUUCUCUGUGCACUGUUAUCAUGGUAUCAGAGCUGGCCGAUCCUUGGUUUCAAUUCCGCUGUGCAAGUCUUCUUGAUUGAUUGAAGCUCGAUGGUAGCUGCAAGUUCUCAGGGAUUUCUGCUCAAAGGUUCAAGAUUUUCAUUUGUAUCAGGUUCUUUGUUUCUGAUUUCACAGUGCACACCAUCUGUUUGCGUUAUGUUCUAGUUGGAGAGUGUUUGUUAUUUUUCUGAAAGAUUGAAGGCCCAUAACCAUUGUUAGAAAAUUGAUGAAACACCCCAACCCGGAAGUUUGAGGUAAAUUCUUCUUCUUCCUAAAAUUUUGCUUACUUUUCACUUUUACCCCUUAUCCUAACAAAAUCCUAGCCGUUCAUCUAAAUUGUCUUUCUCUCCUAAACUGCCAAGUGGCAGCACCCUAACUCUCUCCCUUUCCUUUUCCCGAAAACCCUCAGACCUUCUUAGGGUAAUUCGACGUCCCGGACCCGUUUUUGAAGUCCGUUUUCCCAAAUUCAAUCGUUUGAGUAGAGUAGUUGAUGUACCCUUUAUUAGUGUGCUUAGGGGCAAUUAAUGGUGGUGACGUUUCCGUCUUCGCUAGUGGCGCAGCUUUUGGCGACUAAGUACUGUGAGUGGACCCCUUCUAAAAUUACAUGAUUUUAUAGUUUAAUUGCAUAAAUGAUUAGCAUGCCUACGAAUUUAUGAAGUAUAUAUAUUUAUUAAAUCUCGAGUUAUACCUAUAUUUCCUAUAUGUAUUUUCUAUAGAAACCAUCUGGUAGCUCUAUCUGAUAGGACGAUAGGAUAUAUUUUCUAUAGUGAGACGAUGAACGAUGCGGUUAUGAGACGUAAAUAUUUGUGCGUACCUAGUAGACACUAUGCCGCUUGGGGCGAGGAUCUGGUGUUGGCAUGUGGGCCGGGAGAAAUAAUCCCUAGCGAAAGGCUGAGGGACACGGAGACAGGCAUUGGGCCGGGAGGGAGUUAUCUCUGGCUACGGGCACAGAGACUGAGGUGCAGGCAUUGGGCCGGGAGUUAUAUUCAUUCAGUGAUCUUUCUAGCAGCACACCGCUUUACGAGACGAUUUAUGAGACGUUUACUGUUUUGAUUUCUGCGAUGAGAUUCCGCAAUAUGGCUUUUGAGAUAUUUUUGGCAUGCUAGAAUUUUUAUUAAAUCCAUCACUUACUAUGCUAGUAGUUUUCACUAUUAAACUUUGGGGGUUAAUAUCUUGAUAAAUGUUUUAUUAUUAUAUUAUAUAUAAACUUGGUCCACUCACCUUUGUUUUGCGCCCCCAUUCAGGACUUAGAACCGAGGCAUACGAUCCCGGCGUGAAGGCACUUCCGUAGCAGCAUCUUCGGAUCCUCUCGAUGUAGGACCCACUUCUUCAUUCAUUCAACUUUAUCUUAAUUCUUUUUAGUGACUAGGUUUAGUUGUAUGCUCUGAACACGUUCCUAAAUUAUUAAUUCAUGGUAUUUUAAAUUUCUAACCCUUAUUUAUUUCUUAUUCUUAGCUUUUGUAUCAAUUAAUGGCUUUCGUCACCCCCGGGUGUCGGCGAGCACGUGUCGGUCCUGGUAUUCAGGGAAUAUCAGGGUCGGGGCGUGUCAGAUUGGUAUCAGAGCGUGGUUUGUUCAGAGCAUACUUAGGAUUCUUUUCUAUUCUCUUAAAGUGUCGGUUUUGACAUCAUUUGGAUGUCACGAUUUCCGGAUUUUGUGCUAGUCGGUGCAGUUGUACAAAUCUCUCUCGGAUUGAAUUGUCGCCUUCUGGUUGAAAUUCAAGAAUUCGUGUCGGGAUUGUGCCUCAACAGUGAUGAAGUGAAUUGUUGGACGACUUUAAGGAUCAGAUUGAUACUCUACGACGUGCAUCCCUUGGGAAUGAAGGUUAGAGUCAGUAUUACUUAGAAGCGACGUGUUUUAGAAAUCUCAAUUUGAGGAAUUCUGGUUAAGACUAGCUGUAGAUUCGAAAUGGCGAUGCCACUCUGCAACAUGCGUUCCCUAGGAAUUGCGGGCGGAGUCGGCUCUACAUCGCAAUCUUGAGAAACUCGUCAGUAGCAAACGCUAUUGUCAUUAAUUUCCAAAAUGAGUUGCAAUUCGUGUUGCUGUUGUAGUUGGAUUUGGAUGAUGAAUAUCCAGUCUUGUUUGGAUAAACAGAUUCCUUGAACUUCACCUGGGUUUAGUACUUGGGGGUAAAUCCUAGCUUCUAGCCUUCGUACUUUUCGACGAGGAUGAACUUAGUCUCUGCUUGCAACCUAAAUGUCCAGUCUUGUAAUUUUCAGUGUAAUGGCUUGAGACUCUAUCAUAUUCAUCAUUGUAUGAAGAUCGAGCUUUACUCUGAACUUCUCUGGACUCAUUGAGUUUUGGUUUGCUCAAGGGCAUCACUUUAAGGUAACCAAUCGUGGCACUGCAUGCUUACGCAGGUUGCUUUGUAUCUUUCUUCUUCGUCCCAUUGAUUCAGAGGUUCUAUGUUUAAUUUCUGAAUUUUUAAAUGGCUCUCACAAAGUAUUGUGAAUUUUGAAAUGUCUUUGGCCUCGUCAAAUCUUAUUGACAGUUCUUAACUAUUCCUGAGCUUAGACCUAUUUCCUUUUUAACUAAGAAACCAGUUGACCAUACUGUGAUGAUUUGCAAAAUAAUCAGAAACAGUGACUUCUAUUUCUGCAUCUUUACCUUCCUUCGCUUGUUUGUUUGUCAAUGUGAACUGGAUCAUGCCGGAACAUUAUUUGGAGGGUGCAAAAAAAAAAAAAAAAAAAAAAAAAAAAAAAAACGUUUGUUCUCGGCAUGGUUUCUCGUUCAAAUCGCAAUAUCUUGUACUCCAGUUUUAUUGGACUUGUUUUGACUCUCAAAUUCUUGAGUGUUCUUUUAGCCUUCUCGACCUGGUUUCUUGCUCGAUUAGUGAGGAAUUCACGAUCGAUGGAUUCGACGGAAGUGUCCACCCAAUGCGGGUCGAUUUGGACAGGAAUGUUGGGAGCAUAAUCUUUUCACCAGCUUACCAAACUUAUCAUAAAGAGUUCCACGUGGGUGUGAAGUUUGAGCUGUAUUUUGGUAAGAGAUUGGUGAAGAUUUUGGUGCAGAAGGUCAGCAUAUUGCAUCACCAUCUUAUUAGAAUUCAUAGGCAUCACAUUGGUUAUUUUCCAACGAUAUGUGUUCGUCUCGACGCAUAUUUCCACUGCUUCACUUCCGAACCUUAUUGUUGUGAGUACGUGGUUGUUAAAACACUUCUAGCAGAUCUGUUUGGUGCAUUCUGGAAUGGCACUACAGGACGGUCGAAGCGAGAAUUGGAUAAUCUUUGCACUUCUCUCGAAUUGUGCGUGUUCUCUUUGGUUGUUAGGAUGACCAUUUGCAAGUCGUUCUUCUUUCCACCAACUUUGACCUUGUUUGACUUGAAAUCUGCAACUAAGCAAAAAUGGAAAGGUGGUUUGAGCACCGCAACGGUUCCCAAGAGAUACUGCUUGUUGAGGAAUAUGACUUCUCGUUUUCUGCUUGCUUGACUCGAGCUUUUGGGUCUACUACUAACAUGGUAGCCACUUCUCUUGAAUCCCAAGGUACAAUUUUCAAAUGAGUUCUUUACUGGUGAAAUUCUGAAGUAGUUGGUCACAUUUGGAAGAACUGAGGAGGAUAGGAUGCUUGGUGCUAGAUGGAAUCAUUACGACGACAGUUUCUGUUUUGUUCGGUUUGGAGUAUGGCACUUUUGCGACAUGGUAUGAAGGUUGCUAUAUGCAACACUGGUUGUUAGAGGAGUUGUGCGAGCUUGGAUUCGGAGGAUCGAAUUUUCGAUAUGGAAAAUUGUACACCUUUGAGAAAUUACUACUCGCUUAUCGAGACAACAAUGUGAGCUCGAUAUUGCGGGCUGCAGACCGUUGUAUCGAUAGCUUAUUUGUUGGGUUCGUUAAGCAAGUGGGCAAGAAGAUUCGUCUACAGCAGCUGAUGCAGAUUCAGAAUUGUUAUUCUUGGGACUCGACCCAGAAACACAUUUAUUCUCGGAGUACGUGACAUUUCGAAUUCUUGGGCGAGACCCACUCUUAUUUUUCAGUUUUGGUUUUUAGUAUAAGUAUUUUAACUUCAUUUUCCUCUAGUUAUUUGUUUUUGUCGUUACAAAUGUUUUUGGAAAAAUAUUUCUGUUUUCAUUUGUAAGUUGAUUUGAGUUUUGACCUAUAUGUGAUUACUUAUCUAUUUUGGCGUUAUCUGGCCUUAAAUUAUUUUGUGUUUUCGACUUUAUAUUUUAUUAAAGUAUGUUUUCUAUAUUUUUACACUGAUGGGGAAAGAAGGUAUGAGCCUGGAGGCACGAAAGAUGGAAUCAUUGCAGCCGAUCGCGACGGCGUGGCAUUUUCCUUUUUGUGCAACCGCUCUGACUUGAUUUCUUCGUUACGUAUACAUAUAUAUAUAUCAUUUUUCGUAUUUUCGAGUUUUUCAGUGUAGUAUGUUAUUUUAAAUUUCGAGGACGAAAUUUUUUUAUAAGGGUGGUAGAUUGAAACACCCCAACCCGGAAGUUUGAGGUAAAUUUUUCUUCUUCCUAAAAUUUUGCUUACUUUUCACUUUUACCCCUUAUCCUAACAAAAUCCUAGCCGUUCAUCUAAAUUGUCUUUCUCUCCUAAACUGCCAAGUGGCAGCACCCUAACUCUCUCCCUUUCCUUUUCCCGAAAACCCUCAGACCUUCUUAGGGUAAUUCGACGUCCCGGACCCGUUUUUGAAGUCCGUUUUCCCAAAUUCAAUCGUUUGAGUAGAGUUUGACUAAAUGUACCCUUUAUGUGCUUAGGGGCAAUUAAUGGUGACGUUUCCGUCUUCGCUAGUGGCGCAGCUUUUGGCGACUAAGUACUGUGAGUGGACCCCUUCUAAAAUUACAUGAUUUUAUAGUUUAAUUGCAUAAAUGAUUAGCAUGCCUACGAAUUUAUGAAGUGAUUUAUAUGAAGCAUGUCGAUUAAAUAUAUUGAUUAUCGUCUCGUGUUUUGGUGAGGAAUUAAUUGUUAGCCUAUACUGAGCUAUAUUUCAAUAUAUCGUAUUUUCUAUAGAAACCAUGAUCUGGUAGACUAUCUGAUAGGUGACGAUAGGAUACUAGAACAUGUUUUGAACCCCUCUUUAUAGUGUAGACGAUGAUCGGUAACCUAUGCUAUGAAGUGGUUAUUUAUGAGAGACGUAAAUAUUUGUGCGUACCUAGUAGACACUAUGCCGCCUGGGGCGAGGAUCUGGUGUUGGCAUGUGGGCCGGGAGAAAUAAUCCCUAGCGAAAGGCUGAGGGACACGGAGACAGGCAUUGGGCCGGGAGGGAGUUAUCUCUGGCUACGGGCACAGAGACUGAGGUGCAGGCAUUGGGCCGGGAGUUAUAUUCAUUCAGUGAUCUUUCUAGCAGCACACCGCGCUUACGAGACGAUUUAUGAGACGUUUACUGUUUUGAUUUCUGCGAUGAGAUUCCGCAAUAUGGCUUUUGAGAUAUUUUUGGCAUGCUAGAAUUUUUAUUAAAUCCAUCACUUACUAUGCUAGUAGUUUUCACUAUUAAACUUUGGGGGUUAGUAUCUUGAUAAAUGUUUUAUUAUUAUAUUAUAUAUAAACUUGGUCCACUCACCUUUGUUUUGCGCCCCCAUUCAGGACUUAGAACCGAGGCAUACGAUCCCGGCGUGAAGGCACUUCCGUAGCAGCAUCUUCGGAUCCUCUCGAUGUAGGACCCACUUCUUCAUUCAUUCAACUUUAUCUUAAUUCUUUUUAGUGACUAGGUUUAGUUGUAUGCUCUGAACACGUUCCUAAAUUAUUAAUUCAUGGUAUUUUAAAUUUCUAACCCUUAUUUAUUUCUUAUUCUUAGCUUUUGUAUCAAUUAAUGGCUUUCGUCACCCCUGGGUGUCGGCCAGCACGUGUCGGUCCUGGUAUUCAGGGAAUAUCAGGGUCGGGGCGUGUCAAUUGAAAGGCCGAUAGCCAUUGUUUGAGAGCAUAAGAGGCCGAUAGCCAUUGUUUGAUCAAGAUUUUUUGGUAUUCAUUCAGUUGUUUCAUUGAAAAAGGCCGAUAGCCAGUAGGGAAGAAUCUGUGAUAGUGUAUUUGGGUUCAAGAACAAGUCUUGUUUGUCUGCAAUAUAAAUUUCUGGAUUAAUAUUCUCUGUAACUUUGUUCAAAUGGCAGAAUCUAUUGUUAAAAUUGAAAGGUUACUUGGUAUGCUUACAGUGAAGCUUCAAGAUGAUAAUUUUCAGUUUCAAUCUGUUCUUAGGGGGUAUGAUCUUUUCGAUCAUUUCACGGGUGAAGCUCCAUGUCCUCCGAGAUUUGUUAUUGAUAGAAAGUCUACAAGUGGAUAUGUUUUUCUUCUUGCUGCUGGUGCAAUCUCAUGGAAAAGCUCCAAGCAGAAGGUGAUUGCUUCUUCAACUACGGAGUUCAGGAGUUGAAUUUCGUUUAUCAACCUGAAAACUUGAAUUCUGUCAAGCAACAUAGUGCUUAUGGUAUAGGUACUUGUAAUCAUAAAGUGCACAUGUAGAAGAGAUUACAUACUGCAUUUAUGAUUCAAUAUUCGAAGCUAUAAGUGACAGGUUGUUAAACGUUUAAUUGCAGCUUUAGGGGACUUGUGAUCACCUUAGUCUUAGCUUAUGUAAUAUCAUCCUUCUUGGACACUCAAGUGGGAGAAUGUAAGGUGUGAGUGUCAAGAAGAAUGAGUUCUUGUUCUCGACAAACUGAUAGCUCAGUGUAUGAGUUAUCAUCCCUUUCGAGUGAACCCUAUUCUAGCUGGAUCAUUGGCUGUUGAGUGUAGAAUGACCUUCUGUCAUUCAAGUGCUGCGAUGUCCAGUUCUUCGUCAGGUAAGUCUAUCAACUUUACUUAUGCAUGUCAUCGUGUGUAUGUGAUUCUAUGCAUGCAGCGUGUUAACUUCCUACGGCAUAAACUAACAGCCGAGCAAAAAUUUAACGAAAUAUACAUCAAAUACUGCCUAACAAAGAAAAAGUAUUAACAAAAUGGAUGACUUAUGUGAAGAAAAAUUAACAAAAAGUAAUGUCCUGCUCUAACUGCUUUCUGGGUUCUAACUGUUGAUGGUCAAGGUUAAAAAUCAUUUGUUACACGUCACUCUAGUUACAUUGGCACCUUUGCAUGAACUCCACGUACUAGUAUUCUAAGGCUCACUGUCAAGAAAAGCAUGCAUACGUUUCACAUUAUAAGAGAGAUAAAUAUACGUUUACACUAAUUUGUGAUAAAUGUAUGACGGUUGGUGACGAAGUUGUCUUUUUCUUCUCUUUCUCCAGUACAAAUUGACUAAUUUAAAUCUGGGGAAAUUAAACUUUAAAAAAACGAAAAUAAUUAAUCUACACAGAUUUGUAAUGAUUUUCAUUUCUUUUGGUAGGAAAUAACUGGAUAUGAUUCAUUCAAUUUCUAUUACUUUAUUCAUAUGCCGAUUAGAAAAUAUAAAAAAAGCAAUAAAUACAAGACAAUGCUGGGAAUUUGAAAAUCAGCGGUGGCAAGGUCAGCUUUCUGGGCAUAACAUUUGUGUAAUGGUGAGCAUUGUUGGCAGAGGACUAUACUGGUUUCUUGGUCCUACCUCCAACGUGUGGAUGCUAAACGGGUGAAUAAUCAAUAUUUAUAAGGAGCUCACUGUUAUAGUGACAUCUUUAUUCAUCAAUGAAUUGUUACGUGAAGAAAAACUUACACAUGACAACGCAUCUAAUUAAGCGCAUAAAUUUUACGUGACAGUAAACUCAUUCUAUAUAACGUCUGAGGCUUGUUAGACUCACUUUACUAAUGUUUCAGCCCAAAUAUUUUCAUUAAUUGGUUUAAUUCCUGUUAAUUUUGAAUUACGCAUUGUAGUGUUGGAUUCACAAACUUUUUAAUUCUCGAUUUUCAAUUGAAUAAACGAGUGUGGUAUGUAUUUCAAACAAACAAGAUUGAACAUCUAAUUAUUUCAAAUAAAAUGCAUCAAACACUCAUCUUCUUCUGGCAAGUAAGAAAAACUAGUUAUGCGAUGCGGCAUGUUUGAAUUGCGUGACAUAAACCAAAUUUCCAAUCGCAAAUUUGGUGAUAAAUAAAAUAAUUUCAAUAAGUGAAAAACUCAAAUAGGUUACAUAAUUUGAUUUUUUUUUCUUUUUUCGAGGGGAUUAGCUUGUGGGAAAGCUACGGUAGUCCAUCUCUUUGGAGGUCGGGAAAACUUACAGAGGCAUUUCAGCUAUCCUCUUACUAUCAUCGUGUGAUUCACUAUCGUUAAAAAUCGAACCUAUGACAAGAUAUGUGGAAUGGGAAUCUAAAUUGAUGAAGCAUUUGUAAUUUCAAAAUUUCCCCCUCCAUACAUAUUUCUUUUAUCAAGCCCUCCUUACAUAUAACAAUUGGAAAAAUUAACUUAAUUAGUAUGGGGUAAAAUAGUAAAUUAAUACGUGCGAAUUAAAACCACUCCACGUUGGGGUAGUUACAAACUUUUUUUUAAGUACGCUUGUGACAAGAGAUUUGUGUCUACAUUGAUUUUGGUCGCAAUUAAUUUGAAAAGUGAGAUGGAGAUCUUGGUGAUGUUGAUUUAAAGGAGGCCUCCUCAUCGGACGGUGUUGGUGAAUAGCACCAUGCAGCAGUCAAUGGGUGUUGUGUACAAACUCUGGUCAUCUGGUACUUCUCUUUAUUGAAAAAAAAAUUAAACGAAAAAAAAAGCAAGAUAACUAUUUUGAAGUGCCAGGAACAAUUCUCCGAGAAUGAAAUUAAAAAAUGUGGUCAAGUUCUUCAAAUCUAGUUGAAUCUGCUAAACCAUCACCUGCUAAAAAGAAAGAAAAUAAGUUAUAAACAUUACCAAAAUUGUAUCAAUCGUAACAAAGACAUCAAAAAACAAAAAUUGGAAAAGAAAAUGAAAAUUGUUUGAAAUCAAAUUCAAAAUCUCUAAUUGGAUGGCAUAAAAGGGAAAAGGGAGAGACUCUCAGAAACAAUAAAAAUGAGUGGCAUGGGAGAGAACUCAUGUUAUGUCAUUUUCUUAAUUUUAUGAAGAAGAGAAGAUGGACAUAGAUUGUGAGAUCACCCUCCCUACCACUCAUCUUGACUGGCUUCUAAGAGAUUAUCUCCCAUUUCAACUCGGCCAAUUCUAAGAAUGUAUGUUGUGGUUACAUGACUAUGAUGCCUUAAUUUAUAGAAACUCGAGGGCACACAGAUUCAGAAAACCAACCUUAGAGUUAGACUUCUAAACGGGUUAGGUUUAUUGGAUUUGGAUCGGGUUCAAUCCGACCCGUUAAGCUAACGGGUCAUCCGAACCUGACCCGUUAAACUAACGAGUCACCCGUUUCACCCAUUAACAAUUAAUUUUUUUUUUUUUUGCAUAGAGUUUUUUUUUGUUGUUAAGACUUUACUGAAAUUACUAAAAUAUCAUCAACUAACCGGUCUAACGGGUUGACCCAAAGUGACCCGUUAUUUAACGGGUUCACCCGUUAACGACCCGACAUGUUAAGCAUCCAUCCAAAUACUAAUAUUAAUAGAUCGAAUCGGAUUGGGUUAACGGGUCAGAUCCAAAAUAACAAGUCUACUUAGAGCCCAUGGUUUUCACAGCGAGGAUUGCGUGUGUCAGUCUAGUUAUAUUCACACACACGCCUGCUUCUCAUGUCAUUCUAGCAAAGUUGGUAAUCUCUCAUGAUUCAUGGACUCCGCGUCACUCUAGUAACGUUAGCCAUUUCAAGAAAAACGUGCGCGCGCUCGCAUGAUAAGAGAUAUGAAAGGCCUAAAUUUGACUUGACAAUAAGGGAAAAUAAUCUAAGAGCCAUAAGGGUUGGUGAGUGAGUUGUCAAUUUCCUUUUCCUUAUGAGACCCAUCAGGGUUGGUGACUAGAGGCCUGAUUUGGUAUACUUGGAUCUGAUAUCUCGUCGUUGCAUUCACUUUGCACAUUUAUAGAAACUUGAGGGCACACAGAUUCAGAAAACCAACCUUAGAGAUAGACCUCUAAACGGGUAGGGUUUAUCAGGUUUGGGUCGGGUUGAAUCUGACCCGUUAAGCUAACGGAUCAUCCGAACCCGACACAUUAAACUAAUGAGUCACCCGUUUCAUCCGUUAACAAUUAUUAUUAUUAUUAUUAUUAUUUUGUAUAAAGUUUAUUUUUUGUUGUUAAAACUUUAUUGAAAUUACUAAAACAUCAUCAACUAACGGGUUGACCCAAAGUGUUCCGUUAUUUAACGAUUCACCCGUUAACGACCCAAUCCGUUAAGCAUCCACUCAAAUACUAAUAUUAAUGGGUCAGAUCGGAUCGGAUUAACGGGUCGGAUCGAAAAUGACAGGUCUACUUAGAGCCAUGGUUUUCACAAUGAGGAUUGCGUGUGUCAGUCUAGUUAUAUUCACACACACGCCUGCUUCUCAUGUCAUUCUAGUAAAGUUGGUAAUCACUCAUGGUUCAUGGACUACGCGUCACUCUAGUAACGCUAGCAAUUUUGAGAAAAACGUGUGUGCGCUCACAUGAUAAAAUAUAUGAAACGCCUAAAUUUGACUUGACAACAAGGGAAAAUAAUCUAAGAGCCACAAGGGUUGUGAAUAGUUCAAGCAUUUUUGUUAUCAUUCUAAUUUUCUGAAGGUAGAUAGAGAAAUUGCAUGUAAAUCGAACAAUGUUUCAUAAUCUUUUGCAUGUUGGUACUAUUGUUGAUCCAAAGCCACAAGAACUUUGUUGGUCUAAUCUUUUUUGCAUGUAAAUAGAAGUCUGAUCUUUUGUGUGUAUACAAGCAACAGUAUCAUUUAAACGCUUUAAAAACCCUCAGCGUCACGUGGGCAAUUUUUGCUUGUUAUAAUCAAAUAUAUGAAAUUGAAAUGUUGUACGAGGUUACAAUUGGAGAGAUUUUUCAGUGUGAUUGGAACACGGGAUGAUACAUCAUGUGUCACUAUACAAAUGGUAGAAUAUGUUUGUUAAAAAAUUAAUAAUUUAAAAAAUAAAAUUUUCACUACUUAUAUAAAAACACGUGGUGUACCACUCGUUUUUCGAUCACAAUGAAAAAUUUCCCGUUGCAAUUGUACCAAAAUGUAAAGAAGUAAAUUGUAAUUUACCCUUUUUACUUUCACUUGCACAUUUACCUGUUUGACGCCCAGCCAUAUUAUAUCCCAGUAAAAAUAUCACAUCCAUCAAAAAAAUUAAUUUUUCAUCUAUAUUAAUACAAUGUAUUUGAAGGACCGACAAUUUUGAAAAUGCGGUCUCAUGCCGUAGAGGAUGGUUUAGAAAAGGUGAGGCUCCCUAGUAUAUAUAGGUAGCACUCCUCUGGAUUGUUCAUUGCUCAUACACAUCACCUGCUUCAUACACUUGAACUUUAUGGAGAGAAGCAUGAGAGUUGUUUUACUACUAAUCAGGUUUCUAGCCAUUGCAACCAUUACUUUCAGUAUUGGUUUAUCCAAUGGAAAUCCCGGUUGGCCUCCACUUUGCAAAGAAAGUGAAAGACAAGCACUUCUGAUGUUCAAGCAAGAUCUCAACGACCCUGCCAAUCAGCUUGCAUCGUGGGUUGCAGAAGAAGGUUCAGACUGUUGCAGUUGGACAAGAGUUGUCUGUGAUCACAUGACCGGCCACAUCCAGGAGCUGCACCUUGAUGGUUCCUACUUUCAUCCGUAUUCCGACCCUUUUGAUUUGGAUUCCGACUCUUGCUUCAGUGGUAAGAUAAAUCCUUCUUUGCUCAGUUUAAAGCAUCUCAACUACUUGGACUUGAGUAACAAUAAUUUUCAGGGAACACAAAUUCCUAGUUUCUUUGGUUCUAUGACAAGUUUAACACACCUUAACCUUGCAUACUCAGAGUUUUAUGGAAUAAUUCCUCAUAAACUGGGAAAUCUCUCCAGUCUACGUUAUCUCAAUCUCAGUAGUUCCAAUGGUUUCAAUCUGAAGGUAGAGAAUCUUCAGUGGAUUUCUGGUCUUUCUCUGCUGAAACACUUGGACUUAAGUUUUGUAAAUCUUAGCAAAGCAUCCGACUGGUUGCAAGUUACAAACAUGCUCCCUUCUUUGGUAGAGUUAGAUAUGUCUAAUUGUCAACUUCAUCAAAUCACCCCCCUACCCACCACAAAUUUUACUUCCCUGGUCGUCCUUGAUCUUUCUGGAAACCGUUUUAAUUCUUUGAUGCCGAUGUGGGUUUUCAGUAUUAAAAAUCUAGUUUCUCUUCGUCUCAUUUAUUGUUGGUUCCAAGGUCCAAUUCCUAGCAUUUCACAGAAUAUCACAUCUUUGAGGGAAAUUGAUUUGUCAUUGAAUUCUAUUAGUCUUGAUCCGAUUCCCAAAUGGCUGUUUAACCAAAAAGACCUUGCCUUGAGUCUAGAAUCCAAUCAACUUACAGGACAACUUCCAAGCAGUAUUCAGAAUAUGACUGGUCUUAAAGUUCUUAAUCUCGGAUCGAACGACUUCAAUUCUACCAUACCUGAAUGGUUGUAUAGCUUGAACAAUCUCGAGUCUUUACUUCUUUCUUCCAAUGCCUUGCGUGGUGAAAUAUCGAGUUCCAUUGGAAACAUGACAUCCCUUGUCAAUCUUCACUUAGAUAAUAAUCUGUUGGAAGGGAAAAUCCCAAAUUCUUUGGGACAUCUUUGUAAGUUGAAAGAUCUUGAUCUGUCAAAGAACCAUUUCACGGUUCAAAGACCAUCCGUAAUCUUUGAAAGUUUGUCCAGAUGUGGUCCGAAUGGAAUAAAAUCAUUGUCGUUGAGGUAUACUAAUAUAUCAGGUCCCAUUCCAAUGUCUCUAGGAAAUCUGUCAAGCUUAGAAAAAUUGGACAUAUCUGGAAAUCAGUUUAAUGGAACUUUCACAGAAGUUAUUGGUCAACUCAAAAUGCUAACGGAUUUGGAUAUAUCUAAUAAUUCAUUAGAAGAUGCAGUGUCGGAAGUUUCUUUUAGCAACCUUACAAAGUUGAAGCAUUUCAUUGCAAAUGGAAACUCAUUUACUCUGAAAACCAGUCGAGAUUGGGUUCCUCCUUUUCAACUUGAAAUUUUGCAAUUGGAUUCUUGGCAUCUGGGACCUGAAUGGCCAAUGUGGUUGCGGACACAAACGCAAUUAACACGUCUAAGCUUAUCCUGUACAGGAAUUUCAAGUACUGUUCCAACUUGGUUUUGGAACUUAACUUCCAAAGUAAGGUAUCUGAAUCUCUCUCACAAUCAAUUGUAUGGGCAGAUUCAAAACAUAGUUGCUGGUCCUAUGUCAGUGGUUGAUCUUAGUUCUAACCAUUUCACUGGUGCAUUGCCUAUUGUUCCCACCUCAUUAUUUUGGCUAGAUCUUUCCAAUUCAUCAUUUUCUGGAUCUGUUUUCCACUUCUUCUGUGAUAGGCCAGAUGAACCACGGCAACUUCAUUUUCUUCAUCUCGGGAACAAUCUUCUCUCUGGAAAAGUACCCGAUUGUUGGAUGAGUUGGCAGUACUUGAGCUUCCUAAAUUUAGAAAACAACAACCUAACGGGGAAUGUCCCAAUGUCCAUGGGAUACUUAGAUUGGCUGGAAUCGCUGCACUUGCGCAAUAAUCACCUGUACGGAGAAUUGCCACAUUCCCUGCAGAACUGUACCAGGUUGUCAGUUGUUGACCUUGGUGAAAAUGGGUUUUCCGGAAGCAUACCAAUAUGGAUAGGGAAAAGCCUUUCAGAAUUGCAGAUUCUGAACCUUCGUUCAAAUAAGUUUGAAGGAGAUAUUCCUAAUGAAGUUUGUUAUUUGACAAGUCUCCAGAUAUUGGACCUUGCACAUAACAAACUCUCAGGAAUGAUACCGAGAUGCUUCCACAAUUUGAGCGCCAUGGCUGAUUUUUCAGAAUCACGUGAUGCAAGUGUAUAUGUUAUUUUGAAUGGGAUUAGCGUUCCACUUAGCGUUACAGCGAAAGCAAUCUUGGUAACGAAAGGGAGAGAAAUGGAAUAUGGCAAGAUUCUGAAAUUCGUAAAAUUCAUGGACCUUUCAUGCAACUUUAUGUAUGGAGAGAUCCCUGAAGAACUUACCGACCUCCUCGCAUUGAAGUCACUCAAUUUAUCGAAUAACCACUUCACCGGAAGAAUUCCUUCAAAGAUUGGUAAUAUGGCACAGUUAGAAUCUCUCGAUUUUUCCAUGAACCAACUUGAUGGUGAAAUUCCUCAAAGCAUGACGAAUUUGACAUUUCUGAGUCACUUAAACUUGUCCAACAACAAUUUGACGGGACGAAUUCCGAAAAGCACUCAACUGCAGAGCCUUGAUCAGUCGAGCUUCGUCGGCAAUGAACUAUGCGGAGCUCCACUCAACAAGAAUUGCAGCGAGAAUGGGGUGAUACCGCCACCAACAGUUGAGCACGACGGAGGAGGAGGAUACAAUUUACUCGAAGAUGAGUGGUUCUACGUGAGCUUGGGAGUUGGAUUCUUCACGGGGUUUUGGAUUGUGCUUGGUUCUUUGUUGGUAAACAUGCCAUGGAGCAUUCUUCUUUCACAGUUGCUGAAUAGGAUAGUGCUUAAAAUGUAUCAUGUAAUUGUUGAAUAUGUUUAGCUUUGUUUUGUACUUUGAGUAAGUUUGUUGGCAUUUUCCUUGCUGUGACGAAUAUGCCAGUAUGGUUGUGUUGUAUGAUUUUGUCAAAUUUCGUCCUCUUGUUUCAUUGUAUUUUUUUUCAGGUUUGGCUUUAGAGGGGUUAGGUUUCAUGUCCUCCCCUCCCUUGUAUCGUUUUUGUUUUCGUUUCUAGAAGGGUAAGGUUUAUGUUCCCCCUUCUUACUCAAUGUUGUUUUUCUCAUUUUCUUGGCAUUAUGAGGGGUAAGGUUUAUAUUCUCCCCUGACUAGGUGUAACUUAUUUUUUUUCAUUAUCAAUAAAAUAUCCCUCGUACUGUCGAGGUUUUCUUAAAAAAUAAAAAAUAGAAAAAAUUAUCCCAUAUAAAAUUAAAAGACUUGUUUUCUGAACAAGUAAUUCUUAAUUCAGCAGAAGUAAAUUGAAUGACAAGAGAAAUGUGUGAAAAUGGUUUAGGGAUUAGUUACCUAUUAAUUAAUUAUCAACAAACUCAUAUUAUUUCGUGGUUUUAUUUUUAAUUAUUUUUCAUUUACAAUUUUACUCCUGGAUCUUUCUUUUGUUCUCUCUCUUCUCUCUCCCCUUCUUCGUAGUACUUCUCUCUCUCUCUCUCUCUCUCUCUCUCUCUUCUUCAUACUAAUUCACGUGACACCUCUCGCUCUUGUACGAGAAAACCCAAUUGCUAUGCAGUUUUGAAAUGCUCGUGAUGCAAGCAAAAUGGAGACGACAGAGUUAGCAUGUUUCUAUGGUGAGUAAGUUGUCAGUUUCCUUUUUCUUAUGAAACCCAUCAAGGUUGGUGACUAGAGGCCUGGUUUGGUGUACUUGGAUCUGAUAUCUCGUCGUUGCAUUCACCUUGCACAUUUUCCAGCCCAAAAAACUUUCAACUAAUGUCCGACCUUAUCAUAAGCAUAUUUAAAAACAUGUGGUCCAAUAUUUUAUUGAAUAUCACACUGGAUUUCUAACCAUGAGUCGUCGGUUCGAUGUACUAUGUGCAAUGCAGGGAAAAAAUAUUGUUUUGAAUUUGUAAAAUUCUAAGUUUUGUUCAUACAAAUCACCCCUUUUUACGUUGAUGGAAAUUAAUCGAGGUUCACUACAUCGCAAGUCUCUUUUUUGGUCAAGAGUUUACUUUAUUUAUAACACAACAGAUUACAAAAAAGAAGGCCCAAAUACAAUAAACACACAAACAAGAAGACGGACCUCCAUAGUAACCCAACAGCCCAAAACAAACAUAGUUUUGAGCCCUAAACAGGAAAAAACACCAAAGCAAACCCUAGCAGAUUUCUACCUCCGCCUUCAACCCGCUUGCCGAACGAACAACCCCUGCACCCAUCAAGAAAUCAAAAUAACUAAAGCCCCAAAGCUGGAUGAAAACAGAGCUACAACAGGAACCCAAAACAGAGCCCCAAAUUCCUCCACAGCACACCACAGCAGUAACCGCCACAAAUCGAAGGAAGCUAGUGGGAAAAAACCCACUAGCAACAGUGCCAACAAAGUCAAACCAAAGGAAGGAGGUGGUGUGAACACCGAGCCUAAGCUCUACUCACCUUCCGGGAGAAGCACGAUAAAUCGCAUUGAAAAAAGGUGGGAGCCAAGCCGGACUGUGAGAUCAAAGAAGGAUGAAGCCGAUCCGGAUUGGGGAACGUGGGGGGAAAGAGGGGGAAAUGGUGGAAAGAAGGAGAAAAUGUGGAAAAGGUGGAAGAAAGACGAAAGGAAACAAAAGGGAAACGUGGAAGAACGGAAGAAAUGGGAGAAGUUGGAAAAGGGACUGAGGUCAAAGAAAACAGAUACACGGGGUUGAGUGGCAAACAGGCCACUGGGCGGGGGUACAUGGAAGAUGAAGGAGAAGGAGAAGGAAAGAAAAGGAAAAAGGAGAAAGGAGAAAGGAGAAGAGAAGGACUGCCACCGACCCUGGCCAUAACUAGGGUCGGUGGCUGCGGGAAGAAUGAAGUGGAGGACACACACACAACAGGUAUAACAAGUUUAGGAACCGGAAGGCGAUAUUCCGUUCCUUAUUCGUAAUUUUUUUCACACAUACCGCAAAGCUUUUGAAAUGAACAAACCAACUCGUAUAUAUUCGCUUCAGACCUAGGGGAUAAGAACGAUAGAUCCAGAUGUUUUCCUGUUCUCAAGGUCUGCGUGUGCCUGUGCUGCUUCAGAUAAUGAGUAGGUGUGAUUCACUCGAACCCGCAAUAUACCCGAUGCAACAUUAGCAAAUACCUCUCCUGCAGCCUUCCUCUCGGGUUACAGCGUAAUGAAAGAGGCUAGGCCGAGUCAAGAAGAGUGAUUUCGCUGCAAGGGCUGAUAAUGGAACUGGAUCAGACGCACCUGAUGACUGCCCAAAAUUCACCAUGUAUCCCCGAAGUUUUAAGACUUCCAGUGAUCCCUGAAAACAAUACCUCCCGAUAAGAAUUCAUAGUCGACAACAUUACUUAUCUAUUAGAUGAUGUCAAUGUUGGAGUUGAGUAGUUUGGAUAAAUCAUGACAAGCUUAUGAAUAUAAGACAAGUAUAACUUACCUCAAACGUAUCCUUCCCUACAGAAUCGUAGACAACUUCAACCCCAUUGUUGCGAUGGGGGGUGAGAACGGGAAAGCCAUUGUAGCAGUUGCAGAGACCAGAAUCAAAUUAUAAGGGCAAAGACCAGUUCAGCCUGUUUUGAAGGGAACAGAUAAAAAAUAUGUCAAAGAAGAUCGAAGGCCACUACUUUUCAGAGGUUCUACAAAUUCAAGAGAAAAAAUGGCAAUAAAUCACAACGGUUUCCCUCUUUCGCUAAGAAAAACUAAGGUAUAUAUAAGAAGGAAACCAGCUUUGAUUUCACACGAACUCGAAAACCAAGUUAAACAAUAAAUCAUCAAAAUUUCCCUCUACUCCAAUAAAGCAACGUAAACAAUAAUCUUUCUGAGUCAACUGUUUGGUUGGUGAGAAAAUAAAAGAAAGUCAAAUCCUCUCCCCCCAUCAUUCCCAAAUACAAAAUUUCUCAAGUUAAAUUAAAAAACUUAAAAUCUCAACUAAACCAAUCAGCUCCAAUCAAUUCUUUUCACUGUAAUCUGUCUAAAGAUGAUUCCUUUUUCAUCAAAUGUUAUCCAAUUAUCAAAACCCAGUUCCUACUAAUUACAUAUAAAAAUUGGCCAAAUCAACAUCAAUCAACCUGAUUAAAAUUUUAAUUACAAAUUGAAAAGGAAAAUAGUACUAAUACAGCAGUAGUUGAAUAAAAUUUUAAUUUACUUUUCCACUAAUUAAAACAAACAAAAACGCCAGUUUUAAUCAGUGAAAUUCGAGAGAAGAUUACCUCGUUGGGGCUUGCUGAUCAAGGAAGCUAGAAGCGAAGCAGCUGAAGGGCGAAUAUUGCACAAUUGCAAAUAGAAAAAUCCAUUCUUUUUAGAGAGAGAGAGAAGAGAGAGAGAGAGAGAGGAGAGAGAAAGUCGUCCUCUAGAAAAUUAAAAAAAAAGCGCUUGUCUGCGAUUGGUUGGGCAUUCAGUGGGGUAGGCGGACGAAUAGUAUGACGCCACGUACGCGCUAACUGGCGAACACGCGGGCUGGGACUCGCGGGUGAUCCUGGAGAUUUAACUGAUAUAACCGUCGCGUGCGCGGACUGAACACUUUUGUUUGGUUUGAAGUUUAAAGUUAUGAUUGAGAUUAACGUAUUCUUUUGUUGAAAGUAGACUGAGAUAAUCAACUUCUUAAUCAAACUGCCUGUGUCAAGGGCCCCACUCCACUCCCACGUUGUAAUCUUUUCUGUUAUGGUGAUGGUGCUAAGUAAAAUCAAGGGUGAGGAUUGAGGGAAUCAAUCAAACGGUUGGCAAUAAAUAAGAAAGUUCGAAAAGUCAACCUGCUCAUAGCAGGUAAUGUUUGGACCUACUUAUUUCAACUCAUUUAGGUAAAUUUAGCCAAGGAUUUUCAUGGAUCAAUGAGCUAACUCAUUAUAUAUGUGUACUUUUUUUUAAUUUUAUAUUUAUAAAUUUAUUGAAUUUAACGGCUAAAACCUAAUGUGAUCAAAUCCAAUGAUAAAAAAAAAAAAUCUAACGUUCCAAAUUUAAAUUCAAUGGCUAAAGUAAAUAAAAAAAUUAUUUUAUGUGUUUCAUAUUCUUUCAUAGUGUUCCAUGAGUUUCAUGAUGUUGAUUUAGAGAUUUUUCAAUAUAUAUCGGAAUCUAAUUUUUUUUUAGGUUAAAAUGUUCAUAAAAUUAAAUUAUGAUAGUCUACCUAAUAUUUUUUUAAGUUACUUUAAGAAAAAAAUAUCCUAAAUUCAUUCUUUAAUACUCUCGGGCUAAAAUUUAAACCAAAAGCUUUGGAGGAGAAAAAUUGUUUCUGGUUAAACCCCAAAUUUUCUAGCUUAAAAAUUUGAAGUUUUAACUCAAAAGUUGGAGAUGAUCAAGUAAAGGAAUAGGAUCCUCUCAAGAUCCUAGCAAAAAUUGAACAGUCAAAAAUUAAUUUUUUGUUUAUGUCCACUUUUUUCUGUCCAUAUUCUUUUAUCUUCACCUUUUGCUGUUCAUCUUCUUCCAUCUUCUUCCCGGUUAAUAUGCUCAUGUUCAUCUUCUUCUCUCUUCAAGGUCAUUUAAUGGAAUAAUGUUUGAUUAUUAUUGUUGUUGUAUUUUUUUUUAACAAACGAUAUUAUUUAUACUAACAGUGUAGGGGAGUUAACUCAGCCUUACAAUGAGUUAGCAAUGAUGUGAUUCAAAUUUAUCUUUAACGAGAUUCAAACUUAAAACCUCUCAUUUACAAAUGAUAUUGUUGUUGUAUUUAAACCUUGGAUUUUUAACAUUUUUUAAUAUUUAGUAUUGAAUGAUAUGAAAAUAAAUGGUUAAUUUAAAAAAAAAGAAUAUUUGUAACAUAACAUUGAAUAAUAAGAGCAAUGAUGCCAUACUCGUAAAUCACUGUUUGUUUAUGUUAUUUUAUUUUAUUUUAUAUAAUCAAUUCAUAGAUCUUCGUUAUAAGUACAUCAAAGAGCUUCCAUCUUGGUGUCCUUGCUAGAGUCCCCCACAAUCCUCCUCCAAAACCAGUGCUCCUGCCACACUAUCUCCAUCUUCUCAAUCGGCACAUUCUUCGUCUCCGGCAAAAACAAGUACACAAACACCGUCAUCACCGCCACCCAACCCCCGAAAAAGAAGAAAAUCCCAGCCUUGAAGUGGCACAGCAUUGCUAGAAAAGUUUGAGCAACAAUGAAAGUGAACAAAAAGUUCACCACCACAUUGAUACUUUCUCCCGCUGAUCGAAUUUCCAACGGGAAAAUCUCACUCGGAACCAACCAUCCGAGCGGCCCCCAUGACCACCCGAAUCCCGCUACAUAAAUGCAUAUCAAAACCAGCACCAAAUAGGCAUACCCCUUGCUCACUCCACCGCGAUCACCAAGCUGAGCUGCCAUUACACCUCCCACCACGAUUUGUGACACCAACAUUUGAAUCCCACCAGCUAAAAACAACGCUCUUCGCCCAAAUUUGUCUACGAUAAGCAUAGAUACGAAUGUUGAGAUUGUACCAACCACUCCAGUCGUCAGGACAACGGACAAGAGCGAAGCGCUUUCUCCCAACCCAAUUGUUCGAAAAAGUACGGCAGAAUAAAAGGAUAUGACAUUGAUCCCUGUCACUUGCUGAAAAAAUGGUAUGGCUAUUGCCAUCACAAGCUGAGGCCUAUACUUUCUCUCCAGGAUUUUCUUAAAAGGGUGUUUAAUGUUUUUCCAUAUGUUGUUUGCCUUGAUCAGAUCAUCGAGUUCUGCUUGGACAUCAUUGACACCUCUGAUACGUUGUAGCAUUUGCUUGGCUGUAUGGUGAUCCGCGCUAUGCUGGAUUAGGCUGUUAGGUGUUUUGGGAAGGAAAAAUGCUCCCAGUGUUAGCAUUGAGGCAGGGACUGCAGCCAUGGCUAGGGAGAUUCGCCACCCCCAACCGCCUUUGAUCUUCUCAGAGCCGUAGUUGAUGAGGUUAGCUGAUAAUACGCCAAUGCCGACGCUAAAUUGGAAGCCAUUGUUAAUUGCUCCUCUGUAUUUUGGUGGUGCCAUUUCCGAAAGGUACAAUGGAACAGCCUGCACAACACAAACACAGAUUACACAAGUAACACGAAAAAUAGAAACAUCGAAUAGGGUAUGCUUAUAUGAUUAAUGUUGGGGGCAAAAAGUACUACCUGAUUUCCAAAACCAAUACCAACUCCAAGCAAUAAGCGGCCGAGGAUGAGCAUGUAGAUGUUCAUAGCUGCGCCAUUUAGAGCUGAGCCGGCAAGGAAUGCAGCUCCACCGGCAAGGAUUGAAGGCUUGCGGCCGUAAGCCCUUGUGACCAAACCGGCAAAAAGGGAAGCUACAAGACCAGCUAUGUAGAGUGAGGAUGUGAAGGAUGUUGAUUAUUGACUCAAACAUGUAGUCAAAGUCCAAAUCUUUGGGCUACUUUUGUGGUCAAAAUUGUUGGAUGGCAUGCUACAUGUGGGAAACCAAAAUUGGAUGCACUUAUGCCUAAUUCUUUUUGACUUGAUGUUAGGCCUUUGGCCAUUGAUGUCUUUGAGAAGCUUUUCUUUGGCUAUAAAAGGAGAGCAAGGUGCAACCCAUAAGCAUGGAGAAGUAGAGAAGAACAAGGAAGAGAGAAAAAUAGCAAGAAGCCAUUUGGCAUAGAGAAGAAUUUUCUCAAAUUGUCUUGUUUUGUAUUUUUGGUUUUCUCUUCCUAUUGUAAGUGUGAGAGCUUGGGGUUAUUUGGGUCUUUGGGAAAUUGAGUGAUAAACACUAUUGUAUGUUCUCAUUGAUUAUAGUGGAAUACUCCGUCGUCUCCAAACUGGAUGUAGGCAUUGCCGAACCAGUAUAAAUCUUGGUGUUCUUGUUGGUGUUGUUUUUAUUCUGUUCUGUCUUACUAUUCACUUACAGUCGUAUGCCGCUUCCGCACAACAAGUGGUAUCAGAGCCCAGUUCUGUGAAUAGUGUUGGCGCUACAGUUCAGUGAACAGUGAACUGCUACAGUAUCUGUGAACAGUAUUGUACCUGUGAACAGUGCCGUAUUUGUGAAUAGUGCCGAGUAGAUGGCUGGAGAUAAAGAUGAAUCUGUAAGGAAGGAGUCAGCAUCGUCUUCGUCUACAUCCAAUAGACAUCCAACCACUACUACAAGGUUAGAGGUUGAUAAAUUCAAUGGCUCUAAUAAUUUUGGUAUGUGGCAAUGUGAAGUUAUGGAUGUGUUGUAUCAACAAGAGUUGGAUAUGGUUCUGGAAGAUAAACCAGAAGAUAUUGAUGACAAGCAGUGGACACGAAUUAAUCUUCAUGCUUGUGCUGCUAUUCGAUCAUUCAUUGAUAAGGAGUUGAAAUACCCGUAUAUGAAGGAAACUUCUGCUAAGGAGUUAUGGACGAAAUUGGAGGAGAAGUAUAUGACCAAGAGCGCAGAAAAUCGUCUCUUCUUGAAGAAGCGACUCUUCCGAUUUCAGUAUCGUCCAGGUAUCUCUAUGCAUGAACACCUCAAUGAUUAUAAUAAAAUACUUGCUGAUUUAGCAAACCUUGAUGUGAAAAUUCCUGACGAGGACAAGGCACUAUGUUUGUUAAAUUCAUUGCCUGAUGAUUAUGAUCAUUUGACAACUACUCUGUUGUAUGGAAAAUCCGAGGUGAAACUUGAUGAGGUGUCUGCGGCAUUGGUGAAUCAUGAGUGUCGUAAGAAGGAACUGAAGACUCACAAUUCACAAACCGAGGCAUUUGUUGCAAGGGGUCGAACAGAGGAAAGAAAAUCUGGGAAGCGGGGAAAAUCUCGUUCAAAGUCACGAGGGAAGUUUCCUGCUAAAGAUGAAUGUGCUUUUUGUCGCCAAAAGGGGCAUUGGAAGAAAGACUGCCCCAAAUUGAAGAACAAAGAGAAGGAGAAAGCGGGUUCUGAAGCAAAUAUUGCAAAAUCUGGAGAUGAUGAUUUCGAGUUUGCUUUGGCUAGUUCAUAUGCUAAUGGUCACUCAAAUGAGUGGAUUUUGGAUUCAGGUUGCACCUAUCAUAUGUGUCCCAUUCGGGAAUGGUUUUCUAAUUUCAAGGAGCUGGAUGGUGGAGUUGUUUUGAUGGGUAAUAAUAAUGCCUGCAAAACACAAGGGAUAGGCAAAAUCUGUUUGAAGAUGCAUGAUGGAACAGUCAGAGAAUUAAGUGAUGUUCGGUAUGUACCGGAUAUGAAGAAAAAUCUCAUCUCACUGGGUGCAUUGGAAUCCAAGGGUCUCAAGAUCACCAUGGAGGGUGGAGUUCUUAAAGCUGUGUACGGGGCACUGGUGGUGAUGAAAGGUACAAGACGAAAUAACUUGUAUUUCUUGCAGGGGAGUACAGUUAUUGGUGGAGCAGCUGUCACCGAAGCUGCUGACGCAGAUAGCACAGACACCACGAGGUUAUGGCAUAUGCGUCUUGGGCAUGCUGGUGAAAAAGCGUUGCAAGGAUUGGUGAAGCAAGGCUUAUUGAAAGGUGCAAAGGCAUGCAAAUUGGAAUUCUGUGAGCAUUGUGUGUUGGGUAAGCAAACUAGAGUAAAAUUUGGCACUGCUAUUCACCACACUAAGGGCAUUCUUGAUUAUGUUCACACUGAUGUUUGGGGACCUUCCAAGAAUGCAUAUUGGGGAGGUAGCCAUUAUUUUGUCUCCUUUGUUGAUGACUUCUCUAGAAGAAUAUGGGUGUACACCAUGAAGCGUAAAGAUGAAGUCUUGAAGAUAUUCCUGAAGUGGAAAAAGAUGAUUGAAACGCAAAGCGGUCGAAAGAUCAAGACUCUCAGAUCAGACAAUGGGGGUGAAUAUAAGUCUGAUCCUUUCUUGAAAGUUUGUCAAGAUGAGGGUAUUGUGAGGCACUUCACGGUUAGGGAGACACCGCAACAGAAUGGGGUGGCAGAGCGCAUGAACCGUACUUUGCUUGAGAAAGUUCGGUGUAUGUUGUCUAAUGCUGGAUUAGGCAAGGCGUUUUGGGCUGAGGCACUCACUUAUGCAAGCCAUCUCAUUAAUCGAUUGCCAGCUGCUGCGAACGAGGGCAAAACGCCCAUGGAGGUAUGGUCUGGUAAACCUUGUACUGAUUACAAGUUUUUACACAUAUUUGGUUGUCCUGCUUACUAUCAUGUCAGAGAAAGCAAGUUGGAUCCAAGAGCAAAGAAAGCUCUAUUUAUGGGCUUUAGCACUGGCGUGAAGGGAUACCGACUCUGGUGUCCAGAUGAGAAGAAAUUUGUUGUAAGCAGAGAUGUGACUUUUGAUGAGGCUGCUAUGGUUAAUCAGAACAAGCAUGAAGGUGAAACUAAAGCGACCGAGACCAUGAGUAGCUCAAAGCAGGUGGAGUUACUGAAGACUCCAGUUGUUCCAGUAAGGUCUGAUGUUUCAAACACUAGUCCUACAGUUAAUUCUGAUGAUGAGGACGAGGAUGAUGAAGAGGAGGCACCUACCCAAGAGCCUCCACAGCAACAAGACUAUAUUGCAACCAGAAGAUCGAGAAGGGAAAUCCGAAAGCCUGCUCGAUUUACUGAUAUUGUGGCAUAUGCACUUCCCGUUAUUGAAGAUGAUAUUCCAUCCGCCUACAAAGAAGCUGUCAUGAGUUCAGAGUGCGAGUUGUGGAAGAAAUCUAUGGAUGAGGAGAUGAAAUCUCUUCAUAAAAAUGAGACUUGGAAGCUGGUUCAGUUACCAAAGGGGAAGAAAGCAAUUGGUUGUAAAUGGGUGUAUGCCAAAAAGAUGGAAUCUUUGGGAAAAGACAAUGUAAGAUUCAAAGCCAGAUUGGUAGCUAAAGGCUACGCUCAGAAGGAAGGCAUUGACUACAAUGAGGUAUUUUCUCCUGUAGUAAAACAUUCUUCUAUUCGUAUUCUGUUGGCUUUGGUUGUGCAGUUUGACCUUGAGUUGGCCCAACUUGAUGUCAAGACUGCGUUCUUACAUGGUGAUUUGGAGGAAGAGAUUUAUAUGUCUCAGCCAGAAGGUUUUAAGGUUGCUGGAAAGGAAAAUUGGGUUUGCAAAUUGGAAAAAUCAUUGUAUGGCUUGAAGCAGUCUCCAAGACAAUGGUACAAGCGAUUUGAUAGAUUUAUGAUCGGGCAGAAGUACACAAGAAGUCACUAUGACCAUUGUGUAUACUUUCGCAAACUACAAGAUGGAACCUUCAUUUAUCUGCUUUUAUAUGUUGAUGAUAUGCUUAUAGCAUGUAAGAGCAAAGUGGAGAUUACAAGGUUGAAGACUCAACUAAGUAAUGAAUUUGAGAUGAAGGACUUGGGAGAAGCUCGGAAGAUACUAGGUAUGGAAAUUGAAAGAGAUAGAGCGAAGGGCAAGAUUAGUCUGUGUCAGAAGCAAUAUUUGAAGAAGGUACUACAACGUUUCAGGAUGAAUGAAAAUUCAAAACCGGUUAGUACACCUCUUGCCUCUCAUUUCAAACUUAGCGCUUCUAUGUCUCCUAAAACUGUUGAAGAGAGUCAGUACAUGGCUCAAAUUCCUUAUGCAAAUGUUGUUGGUAGUUUGAUGUAUGCUAUGAUGUGUACUAGACCUGAUAUUUCACAAGCUGUUAGCAUUGUCAGUAGAUAUAUGCAUAAUCCAGGAAAAGGGCAUUGGCAAGCUGUGAAAUGGAUUCUACGGUAUAUUCUGGGUACUGUGGAUGUUGGUUUAUUGUUCCAGCAGGAUAAAGUUACUGGUAAAUGUGUUGUUGGAUAUGUGGAUUCUGAUUACGCAGGUGAUUUGGACAAGCGUAGGUCCACUACUGGUUUUGUAUUCUCUAUUGCUGGAGGUCCAAUAAGUUGGAGGUCGAUUCUGCAAUCUACAGUUGCUUUGUCGACUACUGAGGCAGAAUACAUAGCUGUGACAGAAGCUAUAAAGGAAGCCAUCUGGCUUCAAGGGUUGCUUGAUGACUUAGGGGUUCAACAAGACCAUGUGGAUGUUCAUUGCGACAGUCAGAGUGCUAUUCAUUUAGCAAAGAAUCAAGUUCAUCAUGCACGUACGAAACACAUUGACGUGAGGUUCCAUUUUGUUCGUGAGAUUAUUGAUGAGGGAGAUAUUCUUCUUCAGAAGAUUGGGACCGCUAACAAUCCUGCAGAUAUGUUAACAAAGCCAGUUUCGUUGCACAAGUUUAAGCACUGCUUAGACUUGAUUGGCGUUUGUAAAAUUUGUUGAUUGCCCCAUGGGGGAUUGGGAGACGACUAUUAGGAGUUCUACUUAGAGGGUUUGAGUCAAGGUGGAGAUUGUUGAUUAUUGACUCAAACAUGUAGUCAAAGUCCAAAUCUUUGGGCUACUUUUGUGGUCAAAAUUGUUGGAUGGCAUGCUACAUGUGGGAAACCAAAAUUGGAUGCACUUAUGCCUAAUUCUUUUUGACUUGAUGUUAGGCCUUUGGCCAUUGAUGUCUUUGAGAAGCUUUUCUUUGGCUAUAAAAGGAGAGCAAGGUGCAACCCAUAAGCAUGGAGAAGUAGAGAAGAACAAGGAAGAGAGAAAAAUAGCAAGAAGCCAUUUGGCAUAGAGAAGAAUUUUCUCAAAUUGUCUUGUUUUGUAUUUUUUGGUUUUCUCUUCCUAUUGUAAGUGUGAGAGCUUGGGGUUAUUUGGGUCUUUGGGAAAUUGAGUGAUAAACACUAUUGUAUGUUCUCAUUGAUUAUAGUGGAAUACUCCGUCGUCUCCAAACUGGAUGUAGGCAUUGCCGAACCAGUAUAAAUCUUGGUGUUCUUGUUGGUGUUGUUUUUAUUCUGUUCUGUCUUACUAUUCACUUACAGUCGUAUGCCGCUUCCGCACAACAAAGGAGGUCAACAGUUCACUGUCAAAUUUACAGUAGUUGCUGAUUUUGGUGUCCGAUUUCAUCUUAGUGUUUACUUCAGGGAAGAAUUUUUUAAGAAACGGCUCCAUUGAUGUCACGCCGCCUGAAAUUCCAAUGUCGUAGCCGAAAAUUACACCUCCUAUGGCUGCCAUCAUGCAAGAGAGGAUGACAAACGGCGUCAUCUUGCCAUUGUAUUGCCCGGCUUCGCCUGCUAUUGCUAACUCAACUGCCAUUGCUUCUUCCAAGCUCACACACAAAUAGAUAUGAAGAGAGAACUCAGAGUUGUGAUUUGUACUAAGAGAAUGGAAAUAUAGUGAGAAGUCUUGCUCCAUUUUCUGACAAAUACGAUAUUUUAAACUACUGUAAUCUACGGAUAACGAAUUCUUCCUAACCACGUCUCCAAGAGUGGUCUUACUUGACUGGUGUAUUUCAACAAAUGGUUUUGGACUUGUACGGAAUAUGUAGGCAGUGGUUGCAAUCACUACCACUACUAGAUAACUUCAGGCAGGACCAUAAGCAUUUGUCUGAACUCUGAAGAAAGUUAAGGGUCUAUUUGGCCACUCUUCAGCUGCCAUUGCCUGGUUUAACAAACCCUUUCGUACUUAAUCACUCUUUUUUUGCUGCUUUAAUAUCUGCUUUGCCGUUAAUCGCGAGCACUUAAACUUGUCGACCGCUGCCACCCGUUGGUACCCUGCCGGAGCUACUUGGUAUGGUAGUCCGGAUGCCGCCGGAAGUGGCGGUGUAAUGCAUGAUUAAUGUAUACAUGUUUUGUAAUUUUUGGUUUACAGAUAAUACAGUAUAGUUACUUAAUUAUUAAUAUUAAUAGCAUAUGCUAAACUAAUACAUUAUUGUCAUAUUAUUCAAAGUGAUUUCAAAACUACUUUCAUUUACGGUAAGAGAGGCUCGGAGCUAAUACAAAGAACAAAAAUAAACAGCGAAUGUGCAGAAGGAGAAAAAAAAAUGUGUGCUGAAAUCGUUUCCCAAAUUAUUCUAAAGUGAAUGGCAUGAAAGCAAAAAGAUAGAGAGAGACUACCAGAAACAAUAGAGAGUGUGCCAGUCGGGCACCUUGGCAUGCUUCCCACGUCACUCUAGUUACAUCGGCACCCUAGCAUGAACUCCACAUAUUAGAAUUCGAGGGCUCACUUGAGAAAAACUGUGUCCAUCCUCACGUGAUGAGAGAGACAUAUGUUACGUGAUACAUACCCUGCUGUUUCACAGAAACAGUUUUGCCUUUCAGCAGAAAUGUGAAAAAUACAAUUGACUUUUUUGCUUGCUUAACAUGUCUGUCUGUCACUAAAGUUGGAGAUAACAUCAUUGCAUUUUGCAAACCAACUCAUAUUAAUCUGUUCACAAAGAACAACAGUUGAGGCAAAAAUUUUAGGGUAUAAGCACAGCCGAGCCGGAUGUUUUCCUGUUCUUAAGGUCUGCAUGAGCUUGUGCUGCGUGAGACAAUGGGUAUUUGUGAUUUACUCGAACGCGCAAUAUGCCUGAUUCAACAUUAGCAAAUACCUCUCCCGCAACCUCUACCAAUUUGUCUCGAGCUGCAGUGUACUGGAACAGGCCGGCCUGGUCAGGAAGAGUGACUUUGCUGCAAGAGCUGAUAGUGGGACCGGAUCAAUUGCACCUGAUGUUUGUCCGAAACUCACCAUGUAUCCACGAGUCUUCAAGCAUGCCAAUGAUCCCUG